CAGAAGAUGUGUUGGAUGAAUUUGAGGUGGAAAAUCUACGAAGGCAAGUCAUGAAGCAAAGAAGCAUCGGAAGAAAGUUUCGUAACUUUUUUGGAAGCUCAAAUCCGAUAGCUUUUCGUUUUAGAAUGGGUCAUCAAAUCAAGAAAAUUCGAGAGAGAUUUGAUGAGAUUGCAAAAUUGAGGGGUGAGUUUAAUCUCAUUGAACGACUUGACGAUCAUCGGCGAGUUGUGCACAAAGAAAGGGAACCCACUCACUCGUUUGUGCUUUCAUCUGAUAUUAUUGGAAGAGAUAAAGAUAGAGAAAAGAUUAUUGAACUAUUGAUGCAAACAAGUGACGGCGAAAGUGAAACUGUGUCUGUGGUUCCUAUUGUGGGACUUGGAGGUUUGGGCAAGACUGCACUUGCAAAAUUGGUGUACAAUGAUCAAAGGGUAGAAGAGCAUUUUGAGUUGAAAAUCUGGAUAUGUGUUUCUGAGGAUUUUGAUGAGAAACAACUUAUGACAAAGAUUAUCAAGUCGAUAACUGGUCAAAACCAAGGUGACUUGGAUACAGACCAAUUGCAACGAACCUUGCGAGAUCGUUUGAAUAGUAAGAGAUACUUGCUUGUUAUGGAUGAUGUAUGGAACGAAGAUCCUGAAGCAUGGCGUAAAUUAAAAAGCUUAUUAUUGGGAGGUGCUAACGGAAGCAAAAUUUUGGUAACCGCACGUAGCAGGAAGGUUGCUUCAAUCAUGGGCACGAGGGGAGGUACUACUGGCUACAACUUACAAGGUCUACCAUUCGAGGAUUGCUUGUCUUUGUUUAUGAAAUGUGCAUUUAAAGAAGAGCGAGAUAAACAUCCAAACCUUGUUAAAAUCGGGGAAGAAAUUUUGAAAAAAUGUGGCGGAAUUCCUCUGGCAGUCAGAACACUAGGAUGUCUACUAUAUGACUCAACGGAUGAACAUUUUUGGGAAUAUGUGAGGGAUAAUGAGAUAUGGCAGUUAGAGCAAAAGGAAAGUGGUAUUUUACCUGCUCUGAGGUUAAGCUACGAUCAAUUGCCGCCUGACCUGAAACGAUGUGUUGCUUAUUGUUCAAUCUUUCCCAAGGAUUAUCAAUUUCAUGGUGAUUCUUUGGUUCAAUUUUGGAUGGCUCAUGGUCUUCUCCAAUCCCAUAAUAAGGAGUUAGAAGAUAUUGGUAUGCGGUACGUGAAGGAAUUACUAUCAAGAUCUUUCUUCCAAGAUUUGACUAUUGGGAUGUUAGGAAUGGAGACGUUCUCUUUCAAAAUGCACGACCUUAUGCAUGAUCUUGCUCAGCAAAUGGCCAAAGAUGAAUUCCUAGUAGUGAACUCUGAUUGUCAAUCUAUUCCCAAAAGUGUCCGUCAUUUGUCAUUUGCUACUGCUAAUGCAUCAAGAAAUGACUUUUCAAGCCUUUUAUCUGAUCUAAGUCGUGUGAGAACCAUUUUCUUUUCAACUGAUGAUGAGAAGACAAGCCAAUCAUUUGUUGAAUCAUGCAUCUCAAAGUCGCAGUUCCUGAGAGUGCUAGAUUUAAAUGGCUCUGCUAUUGAGGUUUGUCCCAGAAAGAUGGGUAAUUUGAAGCACAUGAGGCGUCUUGAUCUGGCGGGAAAUUCUAAAAUCAAGAAACUUCCAAAAUCCAUUUGCGAGCUACAGAGUUUACAAACACUGAAUCUUGAAGGAUGUCUGGAGCUAGAAGAGUUGCCUAAAGACAUAAGGUACCUUGUUAGUCUUAGAGUGUUAGGGCUAACCACAAAACAGAAGUCUUUGCAAGAGAGUGGAAUAAGGAGCUCGAGUUCUCUUCGUUGGUUCUCAAUUUCUAAAUGCAGGAAUUUAGAACAUUUGUUCGAGGAGAUAGAUCAAUUAAGUGUCCUUCGAACAUUAUUAAUUGCUAAUUGUCCUCGUCUAAUCUCAUUGCCACCUGCUAUCAAAUAUCUCAGCUCAUUAGAGACUCUGAUGUUGUGGAAGUGUGAAAGCCUUGAUCUUAAUCUGAACGUGGAAAUGGAAGGUGAAGGAAGUCAUCAUGAUUGCAAAAACACAAGGCCUCACCUUUGGAGGGUUUUCGUCGUGGAAAUAACACAGUUAUUAGAACUGCCGCAAUGGCUUCUUCAAUGUUGUACUGAUACUUUAUGGAACUUGGUUAUUGGAGAUUGUCCCAACUUCAUGGCACUGCCAGGGUCUCUAAAAGAUCUCAAAGCUCUUGAAACUCUUACCAUUCUAGGAUGUCCAAAAUUGUCAUCGUUGCCGGAGGAUAUGCAUGACGUCACAACUCUGAAAUGAUUGACCAUUGCAGGAUGUCCUGCACUGAGUGAAAGAUGCAAACCGCCAACAGGUGAAGAUUGGCCCAAGAUUGCACAUAUCCCUCAGGUUCAUCUUGAUGGCGAGAUGAUUGAAUCAAGUGAUAAUUAGGUAUGGAUUUUUUUUUUUUCAAUAAGCGUACCACUCUGUUAUAUUUCCUCUUUUCAUGCAGCUUUCUAAUUUUUAAUUUCUCAUACAGCUAUACCGUUUAUAGUUUAAUGUUUUGUUAUGUUUACCAAACGAAAACUUGACUUUGAACGUUAGUUAGUUCAAUCAAAUUUGUACUAAUUUAUUUUCUUCUAAUACAUAAUUAGUUUGUCAGUACGAAAAACAAAAAUAAUAUUUUGGAAACCGCACUGUUCUAGGGGUCAGAUCUGUUUCUAAAUUCAAACAGUUCAGGAUUUUUCAAAAUGGAACUUAUAAUGAGAUUUUUUUUUUUUAAUUAUCUAGUUAUCUUCAUAUGGAAUUUCAAUCUUUGUUAAUACUUUAACUUGCGCCGAAACAUCUGACUAUUCUUCCUCUUGUCCUUUUUUUUCCCAAAUAUUGCAGCUUUCUUGGGAGAGGUUCAACCAAACUGUAGGGACAGUGAAAAUAUUACUCUAAGUUACAAGUAUUAUAUAUUCGUUACUUGUGGUUAUGUAAUUUGCUGAUAAAUAAGUACAUUGAGUGAGGUAUAUGUGUGUGCCUGUGUGGUCAUUACUGAAUUUCUCAGUAAUAUAAUUUGCAUUGACUGCAGAUUUGUGAAGAACAUUGAUGUGUUGUGUAAUGGGAACGGUGGUGUCUGUAUUUUGUGCUUUGUGAUUGACGACUUACAUUUGCCCAGGAAGAAAUGAAAACAAAUCGGCUUCUUGAAAUUAACCAUUUAUUCUUUCGAAUGGUAACCUUUUUGUGACAUGAUUCGCAUAUUCAUCAAACGCAGUUGGCAAACUAAUUAGAUAUUGCAUCGUGAUUCGUGGCCUUGAAGUGAAAUGCACUUGUUUUGAUUAAAAUUCAAUGACUUUCUUCGUAUUAAUCAAAUUAAUUAAUUAAUUAUUUUGGUAAAAAGAAUUUGCCAAUUUUGUGGCGGUCUUGAGACCCUUGACGGUGGUGAAAUUGAUUCACGGUUUCAAAUGAAGACAUGCAGCGGAUGCGUGCGUGCCGUAUGACAUCGAUGAAAAAGUAAAGAGUUUGAUUUCUCUAUUUUACCCUUAAUUAAUCGUUGACAUCUAAUUUUACACUCCCAACAAAUUUGAAUGAAACAAUCCUAAUGUUCACUUUCUUCUUCGAUUUCAUUUUACGACUUAACAAAAUCUCACAAUGGAGAUGCUCCUGAUGAGGGGAAGGAGAAGAAGACACAGCGAGUUCGCAAGAACGUGUACAGAGGAAUAAGGCAGGGGCCAUGGGAGAAAUGGGCAGCUGAAAUUAGAGACCCUUACAAGGGCGUCCGCGUUUGGCUCGGCACAGCCGAAAAAGCUGCAAGAGUUUAUGCUGACGUCGCCAAGAAUAUCCGUGGCUCGACUUUGCUCACCAGCCUCCAGUAACUCCACCUCCAGGUAAGAAACGCUUCGUGCUAUCCCGUGAGUUGACUCACCCGAAUUUCGGAGAUUACUUUUUUAUUGGUUUUCAUUGAUUUCUUUUCCUGCUCUUAUCUACGAGGUUGUGCUUUCCCUUGGAUGCCCUUUAAUAAACAGCUUUCUUAAUAACAACUGAAGCGAAAAGUCAUUUUAUCAAAUGAUUUGGUGAAAUUUCAAGUACUUUCAUCUUGGUUUUUGCAGUUAAUAGGAAAUAGUUUGGUGUUGGGAUGUGUUAUAUGUAUCAAGUUCUUAUUGCUGGUGAACAUUACUGGUUUGUUUCUCAUAAUCGUUAUCCAGUCAAAGCAAACGUUCGCCUCUCACAUUGACGGUUAGGCUAGAUGUUUGACCCUGAAUAAGAUGAUUGAGUUUAUUAUAGUCUUCUUAUAUUGUCGGUUCAAUAUCAUUUUGAAAUAUCACAUCAAUUCCGCUUUUGGAGUUUUAAUCCAUGCCAAGUUACACCUUUAUUUUACUUUUAAGCUGCAACAUUGAGUCACAUUCUUUCUCUGUUAUUAUUACGAUUAGCGACUGGUACAGUGGUAUUUGAACUGCAUAGCGUGUCAACAUUCACUCUAAAUGUCUUAGAAACUCUGUCUAUCACUAAUUUCCUAGAACAGGCCUCGUUGACAGUCAAAGAUUUGAGGCGUAUUUCUGGACUGAAGGCUUUUCUCUAGUCAAUUUGAUGAUAAGCGCAUUUAUUAUCUCCAGCAUUAAGCAGUAAUUUGUAACUAGUAGUAGCCAGUACCUAAGAUGUUGCAUUUGACUGUCUUCUCUUUCUGGUUCAGUUUCGACCUUUGGAGCUGUUUUAGACAUGGUAAAGGAUAGGUAAUUUCUCUCUACCCCACCCCCCAAUGUAUCAUUAGUCAUCAUUCGUUCUGGUUGGUGGAGAUACACAUACUAAUUUGGAUUAUUGUCCGUGCCUUCGUCUUUUGUCAAUAAUCUUUUGCAUUUCAGGAUUAGUACAGCUUGUCUACUGGUAAUACUCUCUCAAGUAUACAGGGAAGACUUUGUUACGUUUUCUUGACCCGUAAUCUAAUGUUUUAAGAUGAAGGCAUAAUUGAGCUAUCUUGCAUCUCCAUGCAGGCCUGGUUUGGUUUUUGUGUCACUACCUGCAUUAGAUAUUGGUAGUCAAUGGCUGCAGAUGUACAGGUACCUUUUCGUUUCCCUGACAUAAUCUCAUGUUAGAUGAAAUUGCUCGUCGAACUGGGAGAUUUUGUAUUUUUUAUUUUUUCAUAAUUACUAAAGAAAAGUGUUACUUUCGUUGGGAAAAAUGCCUACCACUCUUUAUCUCUGUUGCAGUACAUUCUUAACAGGAAAAACUAGACAUAAAGAUGCAAAAGACAGCACAAAUUGGCUUUUCAAAGCCUAUUAUGGGAACCGGAUGUUUAUGGGUUAUUGUUGUGUGGCGUGUGAGGUAAUUGUAGCUUUCCGUGUUAUUAUACAUAUCAGGAUUUGCAAAUGUUAUCAGUACUUUUUACCUGAUCCAACUGUUUCAACCCUGCAGCUUCUUUACCUAAUCCUAUUUCUUAUUGCGGAGAAGCAGAGGGAAAGCUUGGUGGAUGUAGGCUCUCAUUUUCUUACUAUUAGAUUGUUCUGAAAAUAGAUAUAUUUCCCCUGUUUCUCGAUUUUCAAACAAUUUCUUCUUUCAGGUUGUGGCGAGUGCUGUGCAACAGGGUUCGCCUCUUUCCUUCCUAGUUGCAUCGAGUUUAUUCGCAUGGGCGCAAUCAAGCAAACGAUUAAUGUCGUACAGGUAACUUCAACCCCAUAUGAUGGUAAUGUUCGUUUAAAUAAAUUUCUUGAUGUCUACAAAUUAAGGAAACCUUUGUAUGGGUAAAGUUGACAUUUUACACUGGCAUUAUGGGUCUUGAAAUCGGUAUGUUUUAGAUUCACAUGCUGUGAUAUGCUCUAAUGUUAAAACUCAAACCUCUUCUGUAUGUUAAAUGGAUUGUCGUGGAUAUGCCUGGGAUGAUCAUUUUCUUCGUUUUCACUCAUCGUCUUUGUCAUUGUAGUUAUAAUUGAUUGUGGAGAGUGAAAACGCACUGUGAUGAAUGAAUGCAAAAGCUAUGUAAUUAAGACUACAUUUAUUAGGUUGGUGACCACAAAUAAUCGGAAGGAUAUUCACAAUAGUGUUAUUGAAGCUCUAUAUGGAAUAAGGAGACCAAACCUGUAUGUGAUAAGAGUUGUAUGAAUACCAAAUGAAUUGUCAGAGGAUAUGGUUACUUUAGAUUGCAAUUUAAGAAUGCUUGAGUUCUAAAAGCACAGAAGUGGGAUCAGUCUCUUGCUCAAGGGUAAACUCCUUCGUCAGUUAGUGAACUGUCCAUCAAAAGUAAAUAUUUAUGUGAUUGAGAGAAAUUUUGGAUUUUUGAUGAAAACAAAAAUCCUGUAUGCAUUUGCUUGCCCCCAAGGAGCUGAAGAUUCUCAAAUUGUUUGUAGACGUAAUAGUUCUUCUGAUAUCAUUUGGCUUGCUAAUCUUUCUUGCUAAAAAAUUUACCCGUUGUGUGGUCUUGAUGGUGGGUGAAAUUGAUGUGUGGUUUCAGAUGAAGAUGGCAGCAGAUAUGUGUGUGCCAUAUGACAUCGAGAAAAAGCAAAAGCCUUAAAGAGUUCAUCAACAUUUUCCAUUCAGAAGAAUCUGUUUUGUGGUUUUCAAUAUAAUUGAAGAAAUGAUGUUUGUACUGAUGCAGAUGCAGGAACUUUACACAUCUUAAGUUUACGAGAUAUAUAUAUAUUUUUUUGACUCUGUUAGAUAGCUGUCAGUUAGUUAACCAAUUUAUGUUACUCUUCCUUGGCUAGCCAAUUAAGAACUUAUGUUUGCUGCAUUGUAAAGCCUACAUCUGGAAGCCACAGCUGAUUUUAUUUGAAGGCAAUUUGUACUAGGCUAUAUGCGGAUUUCUAUCUUGAUUUCUGUAAGCUUGAAGGAGAUUUUUUUAUGCGUGAGAGCUUGAAAAUUAUACAUGUACAUGUUGAAACUAUUGGAUAUAUGUUAAGAAUCAAGCAUAAUUGUGUCAAGAUGAAACCAUAAUUUGGGUGCUGUUUUAUGAGUAAACUAUCUGCAAUUUGGGUGCAGUAAACCUAGGUUGAAUACCAGGACAUGGUAUAAAAGUGAAAUCACACAUUGAAUCUCGCAUAAAGAUUUUAAAGAUGCAAAUUCGAAUUGUACAUGAGAUGUUAUCUUGAUCGAAUUGCAGCGGCUUUGUUUUGGAUCCAGAAAACAAAAUUGUAGGCAUAGAGAAGUCUCUAUGGGAUGCUUAUAUUAAGGUGCAUAAUGGCCUCAUUGAGUUUUGUGCUGUUGUUCUACGUUGUUUGAGUUUUGUGCUGCGGUUCUUUGUUGCUGCUUUUGCUACCGAUUUUGGCUAUUUUCUGCCACUCUGUUAUUUGCUAUUUUUUACUACUUUCGCUGCUGAUUUUUGCUGUUUUCGCUGCUUUAGCUGUUGUUUUAUCUGCUGUUUUUUUUUACUGCUUUUAUUGUUAAUUUUUGCUGUUCUCUAUCGUGUUUUACCCACUGGUUGUCGCAUGUUUAUUAAUAUUGUUUGCUGCUGUUUGAUUUGCUGUUUUUUGCUGCUAAUUUUUUUUUCCUGUUUUCUGCGGUUAUUUGCUGCCGUUGCUGUUUUACUCGCCAGUUGAUGAUGUUUUGUGGUUCUCCUCCUCGAAUGCCUACAUUUUCCAGUGUGCAAGCAUAUCUGUUGAGAGUGGCUGAUGAAAUCACUAAACUGUUACAGUUGAUCUCAUGCUUCUCUAGAGAAGGAAUUAGACUUAUUUUGGUGAAGGGGUUUUUUCUGGUUUUUAUAUCAGUGUGUGCAUUUCUUCAAUCACGUAGCUUUGUGGCAUUACGAUCGAUAAUGGCAACUCCACAAUGAUGAUAAUGAUAAUUUUGUGAUUCAGACACGUUGUUAGGAAUUCUGUAUUGGUUUUUCUCUCGCCUUCGCUGUCUACAAUGAAGCAUAUAAUGGCUUUUAAUCUGCAACUGCUGCAAAAUGGACUCACUAGCUAGCAAAUAAUAAUAUAUAGUGCUGUUGUUAGAGUGCAAUUUAUGCACUAGUUUUGCAUUGUUUACUUCUCUUAAUAUCGAUGUUUUGCACUUAAUAAUAGUGAUUUACUUGUGUUUUACUUUUGUAGGUGCAAUUCUAUUGAUUAGUGAUAAAAUUGAGCUACAAGAUGAUGUUUAAGGAUGAUUGUUCUCUUGGAGAAAUUAUGAGCGGCAGAAGAACUUUGUUGAUAAGGCGUGGGCGCGUGCUGUCAACUGCGAACCUGCAGUUUUUAGUUUAACGUGUUUUGUAUUUUUGGUUAUUUUUGUAAUUACGAAUUUAAUAUUUCAGAUAUUAGUAUUUUAUUUUAAAUAGAAUUCUAGAGUAGAAGAGAGAGAGAGUAUUUAAGGGGGGAUUUGGAUGGGAGAAAAAGAAAGAAACCCUAGAUCUAAUUUUUCUCUUCUCUCUAUGAAGAGCUAAACCUAUUUUUCUGGUUGAAGGAUAAUGAAGCUUUGAUUCAUCACUACUGUGAGAUCUUUCUUGUGCUUUAAUUGUUUUAUUGCUUUUUGGGUAUUUGUUUAUUCUCUGAAUUAUUUUCAUGAUUAUGUUUGUUAAUUAGGUAAUUGGUCACUAUUUAAUUAUCAACUUAAUCUAUUGUCAAUUAAAGGACUCAUCGUAUGAAGAAUUUAAUGUUUGUGAUAAAUAACAUAGCAGAGAGUUGUGUUGUGAGAAUAAACAAUCUAAUUUAAAUGAAUCAUCAUAUGUGUUGAUUAGAAUUUGGGUCUCUCUGGUUUUUCAGGCUGUCAAUUGAUUAAAUCCUAUGAUCGUAUCUAGGGUUGUCUAUUGAUUAGGGAAAUAACCAAUGGUCGUACCUUGGUUAUCGACUAGUUAAGGAGAGAUUGGCUAUUAGAGGGUCUCAAUAGCUAUAACCGGUCUAUUCAUGAGUAAUAAUAAUCUAUAUUUGAAUCAAUGAUCAGUAGUCGAAUCAAGCUGAGUUAAUUCCUUCAACCAGAGCUUUCUCCAAUUUGAAUUACAACUUCAAUUUGCAUUCUUGUUAUUUUUAAUUUGAUUUUUAUUAUUGUCAACAAUUCCCCCAUUUUACGUUUUACGCUUCAAAAGGAUUUAAAUAAUUACCGAUCUCUGUGGACACGACCCUACUCAAUCACUAUACACAAUUUAUUUAGAGUAGGAAUUUAUUUUUGUUGGCUUCGACACCCAUCAAAUUUUGGCGCCGUUGCCGGGGAUUGGUGUCAUUUAUUUAAUCCUUUUUACGUUUUACUUGGUGUAUGGUUCGUUCUUCUCGUAGAGGUACACUUUCGUUUGAUCCUAAAAUUGAGAAGACAGCUCGCCAGUUGAGACAGCAGACGAAGCGAGCUAAGCAACGAUCCUCAUCACCUUUGCUUUCUGAAAUAGAUAGGGUGCCUGAUUUAGUUGAAUCAUCUAGUGAUUCAGAAGAACAAGUGAUGGAUAGACCUGCACCUGUAGAAAGAACUCUUAGAGAGUUAGCUGAACCAGACUUGAAUCAGCAACCACUCUGCAUUCAAUAUGUAGAUUUGGAGGUAAAUUUUGAAUUAAAGUCUGGUCUUAUUCAUUUAUUACCCAAGUUUCAUGGUUUUGCAGGUGAAGAUCCUCAUAAACAUCUUAAGGAGUUUCAUGUUGCGUGUUCAAGUAUGAGACCACAAGGCGUGACUGAAGAGCAGAUUAAGCUGCGUGCUUUUCCUUUCUCUUUAGAUGGACUAGCUAAAGAUUGGUUAUACUACUUGCCUCCUGGAUCGAUUACAACGUGGAAUGGUUUGAAGAAGCAGUUCCUCGAGAAGUACUUUCCUGCUUCAAGAGCUGCCAACAUCAGAAAAGAUAUUUGUGGGAUCAGACAACUUCCUGGGGAGACUUUGUAUGAGUAUUGGGAGCGAUUCAAACAAUUGUGUGCCAGCUGUCCUCAGCAUCAGAUUUCUGAUCAACUUCUUAUUCAAUAUUUUUACGAAGGAUUAUCAUUGAUGGAUAGGAGUAUGAUAGAUGCUGCUAGUGGAGGCGUGUUGGUGAACAAGACCCCUACUCAAGCAAGGGAGUUGAUCUCAAAUAUGGCUGCCAAUGCACAACAAUUUGGCAGCAGACAAGAUGCCACUUCAAGAACGGUGAAUGAGGUAAAUAUUUCUUCUGUUGAACAACGUUUAGAUAAACUUACUUCUCUUGUGGAAAAGUUUGUUGUAGGUAAUGUGCAACAGGUGAAGACUUGUGGCAUUUGUUACAAUAUGGGUCAUUCAACUGAUAUGUGUCCUACACUUCAAGAAGAACCCGUUGAACAAGCCAAUGCAGUUGGAGGAUUUCUAGGCAUGCCUCAGAGGAGGUAUGAUCCUUAUGUACAAACAUACAAUCCGAGAUGGAAGGAUCAUCCCAACUUCAGCUAUGGAGUUAGGCCGUCAGGAUUCCCACAACAGUAUCCACCAAGACAACCAACACCUCCACAAUCAAACUCCAAGUCAGGUAUAUCUCUUGAAGAAAUUGUUAAAUCACUUGCGACUAACACUCAACAAUUUCAGCAGGCAACUACAACAAGCAUUCAGAACUUGGAGAACCAAAUGAGUCAAUUGGCGACUACAGUGAGCCGUCUGGAGUCUCAAGUAUUAGGGAGAUUGGCUUCACAAUCUGAGGUGAAUCCAAAGAAAAACGUUAGUGCUGUCAUCCUUAGAAGUGGGAAGGAGUUGCAAGAGCCUAGUAAGAAAGUGACAGAGCAUGUAGAAGAUGAGCUUGAGAAGAAUGAAUUGAUGCCUCAAUCUCAAGAUGCACAACCCACCGGAGCGAAACCCCUACCUAUUGUGAUACCUCCUCCUUUUCCAAGCCGGUUUGCAAAAUCUAAGAAGGAGGAACAAGAGAAAGACAUCCUUGAGACAUUUCGCAAGGUUGAGGUAAAUAUUCCUUUAUUAGAUGCUAUAAAACAAAUACCUCGAUAUGCUAAAGUCCUUAAGGAACUGUGCACCUCCAAAAGAAAAUUAAGAGGAGAUGAAAAAGUUCACAUGGGGGAGAAUGUUUCAGCAGUUCUCCAAAAGAAACUACCUCCUAAGUGCAAGGAUCCAGGUAUGUUUACUAUCCCUUGUAAAAUUGGUAGUGUUAGAGUUGAAAAUGCUAUGUUAGAUCUAGGAGCUUCUAUUAAUGUCAUGCCUCGUUCCAUUUAUUCAUCUUUGAAUGUUGGUUCAUUAAAAGAAACUGGCGUGAUAAUUCAACUAGCUGAUAGGUCUAAUGCAUAUCCUGAUGGGGUAUUAGAAGAUGUCUUAGUACAAGUUAAUGAGUUGGUUUUUCCUGCUGAUUUUUAUGUACUUGAUAUGGAAGAUGAUAACUCCUCUAAUUCUGUCCCAAUUUUGCUAGGAAGACCUUUUCUUAAGACUGCUAGGACUAAAAUGGAUGUACAUAAAGGGACUCUCACUAUGGAGUUUGAUGGAGAGGUUAUAGAAUUCAAUAUGAAUGAUACCAUGAAAUAUCCUAGUGAGGAACAUUCGGUAUUUUCUGUGGAUGUUAUUAACCCUAUAGCGCAAGAAAUUUUUUACAAGGAAAAGACGAAGACAUUUCAUGAUAGAAUGAUUUUGAGAAAGGAGUUCUCUGUUGGUCAAAAAGUUCUUCUUUUUCAUUCUAAGUUUAAACUUUUUCCGGGUAAAUUACGUUCUUGCUGGGUUGGACCUUUUAUUGUUACUAAUGUUUUUCCUCAUGGUGCAGUUGAGAUUCGGAGUCCGACCUCUGACAAAGUUUUUAAGGUUAAUGGUCAUCGCUUAAAACCUUUUUAUGAAGGUUUUUCGGUGAAUAUUGUGGAGGAUGUGGCUCUCGAGAGUCCCAAUUAUGGAGAUUGAUGCAUAAAUGUGUCUAGCCAAAGACAUAAAACAAAUGCGCUUUUUGGGAGGCAACCCAAAUGAUUUAUUUAUUUUGGUUUUUGUUAUAUCUUCUUUUAAUUUUGAUUUAGAUUUUUUUUUAAAAUAAUGUGUUUGCUUAUUUUGGCCAGAAGAAAAUUUUUGAUAAGGCGUGCCCACGUCUUAACUAAAAAAUACUUCUAUAAUUUUUAAAGUAAAAUAGUUUUAAGGCGUGCCCACGUGCUUAUUAAAAAAAUACUUCUAAAAUUUUUGGUGUCUCAAAGUGUUUCAUCACUAAAAAAAAAAAAUCUUUUUUUUAUUUAAUUUAAUUUAUUUUUAAAAAAAAAAACGAAAAAAAGAGAUUUUCUUUUGUUCUUUCUUUUAUAUAUUUAUUUAUUUAUUUAUUAAAAAAAAAACCAAAAAUCGAAAAUCAUUGUUCACAAAUCCCUAAUUCAAAAAUUACUGUUGAUUAUCGUUUUACAGCAGCGCGCCUCAGCUCCAGCCUUCACCCCGCAACGCAAGCAGCAGCCAGCGCGAACCAGUCGCGCGCAACGCAACCCAGAUUCUCAACUCCAGCCGCACGCAACGUAGCGAGCAGCAGCAGACCAGCAGCGUAAACCAGCUCUCGCACGCAACACAACGCGAACGCAGCAGUGCGUAGAUCCAGCCCAGCAACGCAGCGCGAACCAGCAACGCGAACCACCAGCGCGCAACGCAAGCCCCUGCGCGCGCAGCACCAGCAUCCCGUGUCUCGCAGCCCAGCAGCGCGCAACGAAGUCCCACCAGCGCGCAACGCAGCGCAGCACCCGCAAAGCAAGCCUCACCAGCGCGCAACGCAAGCCCGCAACGCAGCAACGAGCACGCCCUGCAACGUAACCAGCUUACGCCCUGUAUUCCAGCAGGGUAAAUCGAAAUCUGUGAGUGCAAUUAUUGUAACAAUGCCGAAGAGGAAAGCAUCCACUUCCAAGUCAUCGAAAAAGACACCCAUCGCAAAGAAAUCUAAGAUUGCCGCUCCCACUACGGUUCCAUGGAACACAAUUUCAGAUUCACGCUAAGCCGUGAGACAAAGAUCGAAGCAUGGAAAAGGCAUGAGUAUUUUGUCACUUGCGGAAUCCAAUCUCGGAGGGUGCCUCGCAUUCGCGACUCAACAAGAGAAAGAGAGGUACAAAGAUAUUUCCACGCGCAAAAUACUUCCAGCUAAGUAUAUUCAUUACCCGACUCUUGAAAAAUUGAAUGUUAAGGAUAAUUUUGAUUCUUUGAUAGAUAAGAUUGGGUUGCGUAAAUUUGUUGAUGUUGAUUGUUUGGGUUAUGUUGAGUUGAUUAGGGAGUUUUAUGCUACUUUUCAAUUUACUAUGCCGAAUGAUUUUACUUUGUAUACCCCGGAUGUCAUUAAGUUUAGGUUAAUAGAACGAAAUUUUUCACACUCUAUCACGGAUUUUAACCUAGCUUUAGGAUUCAUUGAUGAUGAUUAUUCUAUUAGUGAUGAAUAUUUAGGAACAACUUGUGACUUUAGCGAAAAUUUUGAGCCUUAUGGUCUUUGGCGUAAUUUAUCUGUUGAUCACAAUGCCUAUGACCCGAGUAAAUCAAAGAGUUCUUUCUUACGUGAUCCUGUUUUGAAAUGUGUGCAUCGAUUCUUAGCAUAAUUUUUUAGGCAAGAAAGAUCACUCAGGAAUUUUCUCUAAAACUGAAUUUUAUUUUAUCUGGUGCAUGUUAAAUGAUGUGAAGCCUAAUUUAGGUUUUUGGUUAGCGGAUCAAUUUCAAAGUGUGCUUAAACGGUAUAGGACUUUAUUUCUUGGUCCAUACAUUACUAUGCUAGCUAUAAACCUAUGUGUGCUUGAUCCCGACAAUAAUGAUUUGCAUCCUGCUUGCAAAAAGGAAUUUUUGGAUAUGUCUGUGUUUGAAAGAACAGGUGUGGUCGAAUUCAAGGAGGGGAGAUUUCAGUUUAUUGAACCAGGACCCACUCAACUUCCGAAGAAGCUUUAUGCUAGGAGUGGUACUACCUCUGAUGACGAGUUUGACGACGACACUGCUGCCCCGUCAACUAUUCCUUCUACAUCCGCACCACCUUUGAGCAUUUAGUUAGAGAAAAUGGAGCACAAACUGAACAAGAUGGAGCAGAAUUUGGCCGCAUACUUCGAGAGUGUGGGAUUUACCCCACCAUUUCCGCCAAACCCAUAGACGUUAUGUGGAUCAAAGCUCACAAUUCAGAGAAGUUUCUUUUUGCCCUUAAUCUUUUAUCCUUACGCUUUAAUUUUUAUGUGAGCUUUGAUUAUCUUACAUUGGGGACAAUGUAAGUUCUUGGUGUGGGGGAGGGAUUUUUGCAUUAUUGAUGUCUGGAAUUAUUGUUUUCACUCUACUCAUCUAUUUUCACUCUACUCAUCAUUAAAUGAUUUUGGAGUUAGUAUGCUUCAUAUAUUAUUAAUUUUCUUUUCCUCUUUCUCUCACUACUCUUUUCCCAUCUAUCUCAAAUUAUUUACAUCUAUUUUUAUUCUAUCAUACUCUUUCAUCACUCACAUUUUAUCUUUCACUUUUCAUAUUACUACAUACAUCUUUCUCACUUCUUAUUAUUUUUACCUUUUCUUUUAUAUAUCACUCAUACCUUCUUCUUAUUCUACACCACUAUUGAUGGUUGAUUCAUUUGAAGAGUGUACAUGAUUUGAUGGCAAAUUUACCAACUUUGUGAGGAUUUGAGCCUAUGAGCAACCACUUUGCUCUAAUAUUUUUUGUUAUGUGAAUAUCAAUCUUAGUUUGUUUAUUCUAGAACUUGCUUUGUUAUGCAUGUUGAAGCUGCAUUACGGGAUUUUAUGCAUUAAAAUGAUAAGGGCAAACCCUUUUCCAUUUUUCUAUUCUCGCCUUUUUUUUUCUCUACACGAAGACCUUUAUUUGCUACCUUUGUUUGAGCCUUAACCAUUUUUCUUCUUUUGAGCCUCGAUUUAAGGAGAUUUUUGGACUCAUUGUGUGAAUAUAUUUUGUUGCUUUUUCUACCUUGUAUUAAAGUUUCUCAAUUAGAUCAACAAGCAUUAUGCUUGAAUUAAAUUGUGCAAGGUUAGUUUCUUUUGUUUGAUUCAAAAACAAAAAAAAAAAAAAACAAAAACAAAAAAAAACAAAAAACAAAAACAAAAAAAAACAAAAAAAAAGAAAAAGAAAAAUAAAAAAAAGAAAAGAAAAAAAAUAUGUUUACAUUCUUGGUGACUUGAGUAGAAAUAAGCAUUUUGAUAUCAUAAGUUCAUUCAAUGAGUUCAUUCUUCUCGUUUUGAUCUCGUUUUCUUUCGUAGACCUUUCUUUUUCAUUUCACCCAUUUAACCCCAUUACAACCCUUUUAAGACCCUUAGAUUUUUGCAUUUUAUUCAUGCUUUGUGGAUUGAGAUGUGAUAUAUGAGCAAGCUUAUGGUAAUAGCAUUCUUUGAUUUGAUUUGAGUGGAUAAAUGACACCCUAAACACUUUGAGUGCAAGGAGUGAAGUUAUUGAGAGGGCUAUUAAAUCUUGUUGCACUUGAAUUUUGAAUGGAUCUUCUUGGUGGUUGAAUGUUCUUAUUCUAUCUUAUGAAAUUCUAUGCUUUAAAAUCCUUGUCUCUCGAAUGUUGAUCGACUUAAUUUCUUGAGGUAUGCUUGCUUAAAAUUGUUUUUGGAUGAGUUGAGAUGAGAAUUGAGUGGAGAUUUGAGAUUAAUCUUGAGUUAUAUGCUUGAGGACAAGCAUCAUCUUGGUGUGGGAGAAUUUGUUAGAGUGCAAUUUAUGGACUAGUUUUGCAUUGUUUACUUCUCUUAAUAUCGAUGUUUUGCACUUAAUAAUAGUGAUUUACUUGUGUUUUACUUUUGUAGGUGCAAUUCUAUUGAUUAGUGAUAAAAUUGAGCUACAAGAUGAUGUUUAAGGAUGAUUGUUCUCUUGGAGAAAUUAUGAGCGGCAGAAGAACUUUGUUGAUAAGGCGUGGGCGCGUGCUGUCAACUGCGAACCUGCAGUUUUUAGUUUAACGUGUUUUGUAUUUUUGGUUAUUUUUGUAAUUACGAAUUUAAUAUUUCAGAUAUUAGUAUUUUAUUUUAAAUAGAAUUCUAGAGUAGAAGAGAGAGAGAGUAUUUAAGGGGGGAUUUGGAUGGGAGAAAAAGAAAGAAACCCUAGAUCUAAUUUUUCUCUUCUCUCUAUGAAGAGCUAAACCUAUUUUUCUGGUUGAAGGAUAAUGAAGCUUUGAUUCAUCACUACUGUGAGAUCUUUCUUGUGCUUUAAUUGUUUUAUUGCUUUUUGGGUAUUUGUUUAUUCUCUGAAUUAUUUUCAUGAUUAUGUUUGUUAAUUAGGUAAUUGGCCACUAUUUAAUUAUCAACUUAAUCUAUUGUCAAUUAAAGGAUUCAUCGUAUGAAGAAUUUAAUGUUUGUGACAAAUAACAUAGCAGAGAGUUGUGUUGUGAGAAUAAACAAUCUAAUUUAAAUGAAUCAUCAUAUGUGUUAAUUAGGAUUUGGGUCUCUCUGGUUUUUCAGGCUGUCAAUUGAUUAAAUCCUAUGAUCGUAUCUAGGGUUGUCUAUUGAUUAGGGAAAUAACCAACGGUCGUACCUUGGUUAUCGACUAGUUAAGGAGAGAUUAGCUAUUAGAGGGUCUCAAUAGCUAUAACCGGUCUAUUCACGAGUAAUAAUAAUCUAUAUUUGAAUCAAUGAUCAGUAGUCGAAUCAAGCUGAGUUAAUUCCUUCAACCAGAGCUUUCUCCAAUUUGAAUUACAACUUCAAUUUGCAUUCUUUUUAUUUUUAAUUUGAUUUUUAUUAUUGUCAAUAAUUCCCCAAUUUUACGUUUUACGCUUCAAAAGGAUUUAAAUAAUUACCGAUCUCUGUGGACACGACCCUGCUCAAUCACUAUACACAAUUUAUUUAGAGUAGGAAUUUAUUUUUGUUGGCUUCGACACCCAUCAGCUGUCAAAUUUAUAAAGAUUAUAUAUACACACACUUUCGUGUUCAAUGCACCGACACUAGAUGUAUAUUGGCAUUUAGAAAAGUUGGCGAUAACUAAUGACUUUCAAGAUUAAUUAAAUGACAAUAUUCAGUCUAUCAUAAAACAAGUUUUCAACAAGUGAAGAGGAGGUACUCUUUAUAAUUGGAUAAUUAAUGCAACCUUCAAUGUUUUCAACCAAAAAAAAAAUGAUAUUUGAUAUGUAUUCAACAUUAGGGAAAAACCUCCCAUAUCGAAGGUUUGCUUAAACGAUCAAAUAAAUUCACUUAGUUUCGUAAAUGGUUGUACAUAUCCUCUUUUUGACUAUUUAUUGGGUUAUGUUUGAGAGUUAGGACUAAGUGUGGGAUUAUACUAACUUUGAGAUUAAAUAUUAUUCUAUAUUUAGCAAUUUUCCUUGGAUUGGAUUAUGAGAGACUAAAUUCUAAGUUAGUUGUUAAAUAAAGGGGAUUGGCAAUACCAAUUUAUAAAUAGAUUUAAAUGGGAUUAGAAUAAGGGGAUAAAAUGUUCAUUUGUAAUAUUUCUUUCAUAUAUAACACCAUCUUUUAUUUAUUACUUCAAAUUUAAUAAAUGAAUUAAUUAUUUUAUUCAUGAUUUACUUGAAAUAUAUUUUUUAUUUUGUUUUUAUAUUCUAAUUAAAUUGGUACUUUAAUUUAAUAAUUUUUUACAUUAAUUGAUUGUACUAAAUUUAAUAAUCACCAAUGUGAUAUUAAAAUAUAAUUAUGAAAAUUAAUAAUACUAGUAAUUAAUUGAUUUUAUAUAUUAUUUGCUAAUUUUUUGAUAAAAUAAAAUAUAUAUCUAAAAUAUCUAAAUAAUCAAAAAGUUUUAUUAAUUUAUAUUUUUUAUUACAAUUAUGAUUACCCAUAAGUAAUUUACUGUAUAUUUAAUGUUCUUAUUAAUUAUAUUUAAAUUAAUCUUAAUUAUUAUUCUUAAAUAUUCAUAAAUAGUUUUUUAUUUAAAUAUAAUUUAAUAUUGUCUAAUCCAAUGUUGUACUAAACAUAAGACAGUAGUGUAUAAUCCAACAUAAUACUUAGUCCAAUUUAGUCUUGCAUGCCAAAUGUAAUCUUAUACACUUUGAUUACAACAAGCCAAUAAUUGACUUAAAUAAACUUCUAUAACAAUUAUAAGUUAAAAUUAAAAUAGUAUGAUAUAUAAAAUAAGAUAAAAUUUAUAAAUUAUUUUGAAUAUUAGAAAAAUGAUUUUAACAUUAUUAAUUUGUCAUAUUCUUUUACUACUAAUAAAAUCUGUUUGACAAAUUAAUAAUAUUAAAAUAAUUAUACCUAACAUUCACAAUAAUUUAUAAAAUUUAUAUAUUUUGUUAGCAAAUGUUUUAAUUAUGUCUAUAUUAAUAUAAAUCUUAAAGUCAAUUUUUGGAUUAAUAGAUUUUAGUAUAUAUAAUAAUAACUUAAUAUUAAAAAUAAUUUUCAUUACAUACGUUAUUCUAUUAAUUAUCUUAUUGUAAUAUUUUAUUUGUAUCAUAUGAUGUUUAUUAAUUAUUUUUUUAUCUUAUUACUAUAUUUAUAUUUAUUUGUGUUGUUGUAAUCAAAGGGUAUAGUAACUAAAAAUGUGUUUAUGUGACUAUUUAACCUAAAGGGUCUUUGUGACCAUUUAAGUAAACCUUGGAAAUGUGUGACAAUAGUCAUUCUAAUGACUUUCAAGAUUGAAAGUGAGUCGGAUUAUCAAAUUAUGAAGCAUUAAUACAUAAUGUUUUAUGGUUAUUUUAAAGUUGAAGUUGGUUUAUUCAUUAAACAAGCUUUUAACAAGAGGAGAAAGUUCCCUUUAGAAUUUAAUAAUUAAUACAACCUUCAAUAACAAAAAAGUCAUAUAAUAAGGAUGAUGAUUCUUGCUCACUUGGAUACAUAUAUAUAACCUAUGAUGUGGUAAGCAAGGUAUCAAUUAUGUAUUUCUUGUAUCUGAAAAAAUGAAUAAUCCUUUAACGAAGGUUAUCAUCAAUUGCAGGUUUCUAGUUUGGCUGCUUAGUUUUAGGACUACGAAUAUUACAAUAUCAUAAUUAAAGGAAAGAAUAUAUGCGGUAGUCUUUGCCUGAUCUACUUUCUUCUUCUUAAUUAACCACUUAAAAGGAAAGAAUAUUGUAUACGCAGCACACUAUAAUACUCUAAUUACCAAUUCUUUAUCUUAUAAUAUAAGUUCAUAGUGAUUAAUUUGCCCUUCUCCAGCAAAAAAACAAAUCCCAUUUCAGCACAUCUACAAGAGCCCUCAUUUCUCUUUGCUCCAGCCAAUUGAUAGCAGAAUCAUCACAGACACCUUGAGCUCCGUCAAUCAUCAUUGACAAUUGGUGACUAGUGGGAGCAUUACAAGGAUGGUACGACGAGUACAAACUGAUAGAUUUGUUUAUAUGAAUCGGCUGUAGUUUUUAUAUAUGGUUAAAUUAUGACAAUAAUCAAGAGAUAAUCAUGUACCUCAUUAGUUUCAUAAAUGUACAUACUAAUUUAUUCCCCUGCUUGCCAGAAUCAAACAUGUAGAAUAAGAUAAAUUUUAAGAUUUAAAAUUUUCAAUUCAUUAAAAAUCUAGUGGGAUAUUAAUCGGUAAAACCACUUAGGGGUAGUACAAGAGGUUUGUGGUGCUAACCAAUUUAUGUGAGUGGAGAAAGAAUUAGGCUUUUUUAAUAAAAAUUAAUAAUCAUAAUAAUAAAAGGACAUAAAUUUCAAGAUUUAAAACUUUAGACUUCAUUAGAAGUAAGAGGGGGAUCGUAAAAAAAUUGAAUGUAACUUAUCGGUAGUGGAAUGGAUUUUUUUUUUUUUUGGUUGCAGCUAUUUACACACCUUUGAACACAUGUUAGGGUGAGGGUAUUUCAGUAUUUUACCCACAUCUCAAUAAAAUAUUUUGAGGUGAUGCUACCACUAAACAACUCAUUAAACUCAUUUACUUAAUAAACACACUUCUAAAAUUUAAAAUGCACAAUUUUAUUUUACAAACCCAUUAAUACCUAAAAUACCCUUAUUAAGUUAAAUUAUCACAAUUUCUCUUAUCAUUUUCUUUUCCCAUCAUUUCUCCGUUUCUUCACUCUUUUCUUCUUCAUUUUUGGAGCUUUACCCAUAGCUUUUUUAUUCCAAAUUCUCAAACUUUUUAUUUUAUUUUUUAAUAGCUAUUUUUCCCGUUGAUAUUUCAUGCGUUUAUAUGAUUCAGCUAUAGUUUUAACUUUUAUAUAUGGUCAAGUUAUAACAGUAAUCAAGAGAUAAUCAUGUUCAUCAUAAGUUGCAUAAAUGUACAUACUAAUUUAUUCCUCUACUUGCUAGAACCAUACAUAUAAAAUGAGAUACAUUUUAAGGUUUAAUCUUAGGGUUGGCAAUAAGCUCCGGAUCCAGCCCAGAUCCGCAACAAUCCAGAAGAUCCAGAUCUGGAAAAAUACAGAUCCGCAUGCUAAAAAAUGCGAAUCCAGAUCUUAAAAAUCACAAUCCGUGCGGAUCCGGAUGUAAGUGCAUCCGGAAAACCGAAUAUCUGGAUCCACAAUUUUUUAUAAUUAAAUUAUUUAUGUAAUUAAAUUUCAAUUGAAAAAUAGAUAAAUUAUUUAUUUAAAUGUAUAUGCAUUAUUAACUCUCUAAUCUUCAUUAACUUUAAAAAAUAUGUUAAUAAACUAAUAAUAAUUAUAAUAAUUAGAGAAUAUUGUAAUAAAUCGGUUUACCUUACAUUUUUUUUAUGUUUGAUUUAUAUUGUGAAAUUAUUGUUUGUGAAUUUAUGGUGUCGUUGUUUGUUAUUUAUGUUGAAUUGAAGUCAAAUUGUUGAUUCUUACUUAUAAUUGAAUUUUAUUUAAUAUUCUUAUGUAAAUUAUUAAAUUAAAAUUAUAUUUAAAUUUAUUAUUAUGCAGAUCCGAAUAUCCGGAAUAUCCGUCCGCAAUCUGUGCGGAUGUUAUCCGCAUCCGGAUUCGUAUUUUUUUUUUGCGGAUCCGGAUGUCAAAAGUUUAAUCCGGAUCCGGAUGCACUAAGAUCCGGAUCCAGAUCCAAAUUUUGCCAUCCCUAGUUUAAAACUUUGCAAUUCGUUAAAAAUCUUGCGGGAUAUUAACCGAUAAAACCACUUAGGGAUAGUAUAAGAGGUUUAUGAUUUCUCAACCCAUUUAUGUGGGUGGAGAGAGAAUCAAGUGUUUUUUUAAAUAAAGAAUAAUUAAUAAUUAAUAAUCAAAUUAAUAAAAAUAAAUAAAUUGUAAGGGGGAUCGUAAAAGUUUUGUAUGUAACAUAUCGGUAGUGGAAAGAAUUUUUUUUGGAGAGGCUAUUUGGCUUGGAACAUAUAUUACAAUACUCUCUUCAUCCACUUCUCAAUAAAAUAUUUUAUUAAAAAAUUUUCCUUAAUUGAAUUAUUGUUUUAGCCAUAUAUUAUGUUCGUUUAUCUCCCUAAAGUUUUUAUUCUUUCACCCUUUUUUCUCUUUUCCUCUGUGUCUCCCCAAUUUUUUUCCAGUCCUAUGGGGUUCUUAUUAAAGCUUCUAUUGAGUAAAAUCUCUAUUAAAAUUGCUUAUAAAAAAAAAAAGAAAAAAAGAAUGGGUCUCUUUUAAAAUUUGUCUUUCCUUCCUUUACCCUUGAGUUACUAUUAGAUGUAUAAGCUCAAGAUGAGACUAGUAAUUGGAUUUCCAUUAAAAGUUUUAAUUUCAAAAAAUCAAAAGAUCACCAUACAAAUAUCAAAAGAUCACUAACUUAAUUAUACUGGUAAUAAUUAAGAUAAGUAAAAGACCUACUAUUUCUGUUUGAUGUUAUUAUGAUAAAGAAAAAAAAAAAUAGCAAGUUGCUGCAGUUGCAACAAUUGAGGAUAUGCUAAUAAAAGUGUUACAGAGAUAGAUUUAAUUGAUAAAAAUAAGAUUUUAAUAAAAAGUAUUGAGAGAAACAAUUAAUAAAAACUAAUGAUAUUUAUUAAGGGUAUAUUAUGAAUAUUUGUGGCCUUUUUUGAGGUAACUAAAUAAAUUUUAAGUUGUGAUAAUGUGUUUAUUACAUAAGUGGAUUUAUUCAGUAUUCUAGUGGAUUUAAAGAGUUUCAACUCUCAUAUUAUAAUAAAUUUUUAUAUUGCUACAAUUGCCCUAAUAUAGUGGACAAUAUUAUAUUGUACACAUAAGAAUACUCUAGCACGGUAGCACCCAAUUAAAAUUUUUAGUAAAACAUAUAAGAACUCUAAAUGUAAAGAGAAUUCCGUCAAGGUAUUGCAGUAGUAUUUAAUGCUCUUGGCUAGUGUAAACUAUUGUGCCACAUGUAGUAUUUCGAUCCUGACAAGUGCAUUACAAAUAAUGACUCUUAUUUCAGGUCUUUUAGGUACUUUAGAGAUAUAUUAGCUCUGGAGCUAGUAUUAGGUCAUAACGUGCUUCUUUUAAUGAAAGAUGUGGUUCAUUUUUCCCUACACCAAAGCAUUUUCUGUGGAAUAACCGUGUCAAAUGCUCAUUUAUCAAGGGCACGUGUGGUGUUGUCAGUAUGAUAUGCUAACCCACGUGCACUUAUGGAAAAUCAAAUGAGAAAAAUGAAUUAAAAAAUGCAAAAGCUAAUUAAUAAUGUUCGAGUUUGAGAUGAAGAAUAUUUAAUUUUAUGGAUAUAAAGAUAAGAAAGAUUUAAUGAGAACUAUCCUAAUAUUAAAAUACUAUUUAAAAUAAAUUUUAUUUGACGUAAUAGUAUGUCUCAUAAUAAGACUCGUAGUGGUCAGAAUCGUACAUGUAAAAUGAGAUAAAUUUUAAGGUUUAAAACUUUGCAAUUCAUUAAAAAAUCUAGUGCGAUAUUAAUUGGUAAAACCUCUUAGGGGUAGUACAAGAGGUUUAUAAUUCCCUAAUCCAUUUAUGUGGGUGGAGAGGGAAUUAAGAGUUUUUUAAUAAAGAAUUAAUAAAAAUUAAUAAUCUUGUUAAUAACUUAUUGGUAGUAGAAUGGAAUUUUAUUUGGAGAGGCAAUUUGGCUCAGAACAUAUAUUAAAAUGAGGAUAUUUGAACCCGCCACAAUACUCUCUACAUCCACUUUUCAAUAAAAAAUUUAUUACAAAAUUUUCCUUAAUUAAAUUACUAUUUUAGCCAAAUAUUACGUUCAUUUAUCUCCCUAAAGUUUUUAAUUUUUAACCCUUUUUUCUCUUUUCCUGUUUGUCUCCCCAAUUUGUUUCUAGUCCUAUGUGGUUCUUAUAUUUUAAAGCUUCUAGGAGUAAAAUCUCUACUAAAAUUGCUUAUCAAAAAAAAAAAUCUCUUUUAAAAUUUGCCUUUUCUUUACCCCCAAGUUAUUAUUAGAUGUAUAUGUUCACCGUGAAAGUUUAGAUCUCAAACCUUUUCUGUAUCUUAAAUGGAUUGUCGUGGAUAUGCCUAAGAUGAGCAUUUUCUUCCUCUUCACUUCAUCAUCUUUGAUAUAGUAAUUAUAAUUGAUUGAGGAGUGUUAAAACGCAUUGUGAUGAAUGAAUGCACAAGCUAUGUGAUUAAGACUGCAUUUAUCAGCUGGUGGGCGACCGCAAAUAUUAGGCAGGUUAUUCACAAUAGUGCUACUGAAGCUUUAUAUGGAAUAAGGAGACCAAACCUCUAUAUGAUAAGAGUUGUAUGAAUACCAAAUGAAUUGUAAGAGGAUAUGGUUAAUUUAGAUUGCAAUUUAAGAAAGCUUGAAUUCUAAGAGCACAGAAAUGGGAUCAGUCUUGCUCAAGUGUAAACUCCGUCAGUUAGGAAGCUGUCCAUCAAAUGUAAAUAUUUAUGUGAUUGAGAGAAAUUUUGGACUUUUGUUGAAAACAAAAAUCCUGUAUGCAUUUGCUUGCCCCCAAGGAUAUAUGUUGUGCAAGCAUAUAUGUUGAGACCGGCAGAUGAAAUCACUAAACUUUUACAGUUGAUCUGAGGCUCCUCUAAAGAAGGAUUUGGAUUUUGGAAUUAAUUUGGGGAAAGGGUUUUUUUUUGGGUAUAUGAGUGUAAGCGUUCCUUCAAUCACGUAGCUUUGUGCCAUUAACAUAAUGGCAAUUCCACAAUGGGGAUAAUGAUAAUUUUGUGAUUGGGAACUCUUUACUGGUUUUUCUUUCGCCAUCUGUGUCUAUGAUUAAGGUUGUUUAAAGUGUUAUGGCUUUUAAUCUACGACCAUUGUGAAAUGGACUCACUAGCUGGCAAAUAAUAAAACAUAGUGCUGUCAAAUUUUGUAAGGAUUAUGCAUACACACUCUUUCGUCUUCAAUGCCCUAAAACUGGGUAACUACAUGUAUGAUUUUCAUUCAGAAAAACUGGCAAGAACUAAUGACUUUGCAGAUUAAAAAAUAAGUAGGAUUAUCAGAUUAUGUAGCAUUGUUAUGUAAUGUCUUGUGGUUUUUUUAAGGUUAAAGUUGGUUUGGAAAUUAAUUAAAAGACGAUAUUCAUUCUAUCAUGACGAGUUUUUAACAAGAGGAGAAGGUUCCUUUUAUAAUUUACUAAUUUAUACAGCCUUUAAUAUUAAAACAAAAUUUUAUAUAUUAAGGACGAUGAUUCUUGCUCACUUAGUAAGAUAUGUACAUAACAUAGGUUUGUUAAGCAAGGAAUCAAUUAUGUAUUUCUUGUAUCUGAAAAAAUGAAUCAUCCUUUAACGAGGGUUAUCAUCAAUUGCAGGUUUCUAGUUUGGUUGCUUGGUUUGAGGACUAUGAAUAUUACAUUGUCAUAACUAAAGGAAAGAAUAUAUGCCAUGGCCUUUGGCUGGUCUACUUUUUUCUUUUCAAUUAACCUCUUGCGGGGAAAGAAUAUUGUAUAACACAGCACACUAUAAUUACCAAUUCUUUAUCUUAUAAUAUAAGUUCAUAGUGAUUAAUUUGUCCGUCUUCAGCCAAAAAAAAAAAAGUCCCAUUUCAGUACAAAUACAAGAGCUCUCAUUUUUCUUUGCUCCGGCCAUUUUAUAGCGGUGUCAUCACAGACACCUCAAGCUCUGCCGAAUCAUCAUAGACAAUUCGUGAUUGGUGGGAGCAUUACAAGAAAGGUACGACUACUUCAAACUGAUAGAUUUGUUUGUAUGAUUUAGCUAUAGUUUUAACUUUUAACAAUAAACAAGAGACAAUCAUGUACAUCGUUGGUUACAUAAAUGUAGAUGCUAAUUUAUUCUUGUACUUGCCAGAUCCAUACAUAUAAAAAUGAGAUAAAUUUUAAGGUUUAAAAAAUUUCAAUUCAUCAAAAAUCUAGUGCCAUAUUAAGCGGUAAAAUCACUUAGGGUUAGUACAAGAGGUUUAUGAUUCCCCGACCCGUUUAUAUGUAGGGGUGAGGAAGGUAUUAGGCAAUAAAGAAUUAGUAAAAAUUAAUAAACAUAUUAUAAAAAGAAAUAAAUUUCAAGAGGGAUCGUAAAAGAUUGUAUUUAACUUAUCGUUAGUGGAAUGGAAUCUUUUUGGAGAGGCUAUAUUUGGCUUGGAACAUAUAUUAGAACAAGGUUAUUUGAACCCACCGCACUCUCCAAAAUCCACUUCUCCAUAAAAAAUUUCAUUACAAAAUUUUUCUUAAUUAAAUUACUAUUUUAACCAAAUAUUAUGUUAAUUUAUCUCCCUAAAUCUUUUAUUUUUUUCACCCUUUUUUCUCUUUUCCUAUCCGUCUCCCCAAUUUUUUUUCUAGUCCUGUGUGGUUCUUAUACUUUAAAUAGUGGCUCUUAUUUCAGUUCCUCGUAGGCACUCUAGAGACACACGUUAGCUUCGAAGCUAGUAUUUGGUCAUCAUGUGCUUCUUUUAAUGAAACAUGUGGUUCAUUUUAUCCUUAUAUGAGAGCAUUUUGUGCGGAAUAACCAUGUCAAAUGCUCAUUUAUCAAGGACACGUGUUGUGUUCUCAGAACAUAGUAAAAAUAUGAUACGCUAACCCAUGUACAUUUAUGGAAAAUCAAAUGAAAACAAAGAACUAAAAAAAAGUACAACGGCUAAUUAAUAAUGUUUGAGUUUGAGAUGAUUAAUAUUUAAUUUUAUGGUUGUAAAGAUAAGAAUAAAAGUACGUCUAGUGAGGACUAUCCUCAUAUUAUAACACUAUUUAAAAUAAAUUUUGUUAUAAAAGAUUUUAUUCAAUUAGGUAUAUAUUUUAGGUACAAACUCAGCUAUUUGACAUAAUAGUAUGUCUCAUAAUAGGACUAACAUUUGGUCAAAUCAACCUAUUUCAAUAAGAUCCAUCGAAAUUAAUAUUUAAAAGAUUUAUCAUCUCAUUAUACAAUACACAACUUUGCCAUCUAGUAGAGAAUGAUUGGUUGGCACACCAUAGUUUACAUAAAUAUUUCUAAUAUUUGAAUCAUUUGUUAGGAAAUUUUAAUCCUACCAAUAUCUUGUAAGUAAACAUAUCAAAUAAAUAGUAAAUAGAUAAUAUAUAGAGAAUAAAACCAAUCAUACAACACAAUAAUUUACCCGAGAAAAAUUCCUAUACUAGAGAAAAACCACGGCCGCCAAAGAUGACGAAAGAAAAUCCACUAUGUAAAGAUCAUUACAAUCACUCUAGUAUUUUCUUCACUUACAAAACCCCAAUAACAAAUAAUCUCUCAUUCUAGAAACUGUCUACUUGUAUAGAACUAAUUAUUGCAAACAAGUGAAUCUAACCUUCUUAUAUAUUGUGAUUGUUUCAUAUAAGAGAAGUAUUUAUUUCCUUAUAUAGUUUGUAUUCCUCCUUUAAUAAAUUCUUUGGAAUUACUUAUUCCUUAAACAUGAACCCCCCAAACAAAAAAAUUACUAAAUAAAAAAAUUCUAGGAAAUAUUUUAAUUUAGGAUUUACAAAUCCUCAUUGAAAAAGGAGAUAUGUUUCUUUAAAAUCUCCACUUUGGCGAGUUUUUUAAUUAAACGACAAAAUAUGAUCCGCCAUACAUCUAUGCAACCAUGCCGUCUCCACCUUCUUUAGUCUACUAAAACCACACUGACAUUGGACUAAUGAGAAUCACUCCACCAUGAGUAAAAUCUUGUGCUCUAUCCAGCAGCCAUAAUUUUCUACAUCGAGAAUCAUCAUACUUCACAUUAUCCAGAGUACACAUGUUUGGCAUAUGUCGAUCACAUUUCCGAAAUUACCCACUCUCAUGUUUGGCUUCUUUGAGAGUCCUCAACGAUCAAGAUAAAAAGUCCACCACAUACCUUGCAUAAAUACUAAACUACAUGUUGUGUGCACAUCUUGUGGACCCAUUAGCAAUAACACAUCCUCUUCCACGACACACCAAUAGAUGACAUAAUUAGUAUCUCCUUCUAUUAAUUUACAGCUACUUUCCAAAUUGGCUAUAUUCUAACAAUCUCUUUUAAGAUGUUUUGAUUACCUACACUCCUCCAGGGGUUUCUACUAGUGGAAUAGGCCUGACAUUGCUCUUUGCUUUACUUGUAUAGACAGAUUGAAUCAAUAUGUUAUUGACUUGAGCUUCCCAAAAGCCAAAAUUAAUUAUUCCGUCAAACUUUUCUAUUUCUAUCUUCAUAAGUUUUGAAAACCUCCUUGCUGACGUAUUUGCUCUACAUUGCAGCCUUAGCUCUAUUAUCACCUGCUAAGAAAUAAUUAAUCUCACCUAAGAUUUGCAAGAAAAAAUAUGAAAUAAAUAGUAAAUAGAAAAUAGGUGGAGAAUAAAGCUAAUAAAAUAAUACAAAAAUUUACAUGAAAAAUUUCUAUAUUGGAGAAAAAUUAUAAUAGCUAAGGACGAUAAGAGAAAAUUUUAUUAUGUAAAUAUUAUUAUAAUUACUCUAGGGUUUUUCUCACACCUAAAACACCAAAAGCACCUAAUUUUAAUAGAACUACUUUUCUCUCACACUGAAAACUAUUUACUUAUAGAUAACUGAUUGUUGAAUUAUGCAGAGAAGUAAACUCAAUCUCUAUAUAUAUAUGUAGUGAUUAUUUCAUAUAGAAGUUGCAUUCUUUUCCUAAUAUGAUUUGUAUUCCUCCUUGAAUAAGGUAAGUUCUAAAGAGAAAAUUACUUAUUUCUUAAAUAUGAAUUAUCUUCAAUAAGAAAACUGAAAAGUGUAGAAAAUUCCUAAUUUAAGGCUUAAAAAUCUUAUUUGAAAAAAGAGACAUCUCCCAAUAUCCUCAAAUCCUCCUUACAAUGCCACCAAUCUCUUUUGUGACUAGCCCAGUUGAAACUUUUAAUGGAUGGGCUGUAAUUGCGAAUAUCCAAAUAAAACAAAUUUCCAUAGGUAUAUUGGUAGAUUGAAUGACAACUAACAACACAUGAUUUGAUUAACUUACUUCCAAAAAAAAAGAAAAAAAAGAUACAAUGGAUGAACAUUAGACUCUUGUGCCAACUCAUGGAAUUCAUCAAUAAGGCCUUGGCUGAUCCACCUCAUGACUGGUAGAGUUCAAACCCCCGCUAAAUAGUAAAAAAAUAUUUGGAUUAUUAAUUACUCUUUCUUAAGUCUAUUUAAACUUAACUUUGAGAAUUAUGAACGUCUACACUAUAAUUAAAACAAUACAAGCCCACCCGUUUGUAUUUAAAAUUUUGUUUGAAUUUAUUCACGAGCAACAAGAAUAGUAUAAAUGGAAAAAAAAACCAUCAAAUAAUAUCCCAUGACUCUGUUUCUUCAAUUUCAGGAGCAAUGGUGGAAUCAUAUUUUCCGAUUGAAAAACUUUUGGAAAAAUUAGGGAGCUUUGCUUAUGAAGAACUUUUAUUGUUCUGCGGUGUCAAAAAUGACUUACAAAAGUUAAAGGAGACGUUAACCACUGUCAAAAGUCUGGUUUUGGAUGCUGAGGAAAAGAAAAUCCAUAAUCACCGGUUAAGCGAUUGGCUGGGAAAACUUAAGGAUGCUUGUUAUGAUGCAGAAGAUGUGUUGGAUGAAUUUGAGGUGGAAGAUCUACGAAGGCAAGUCAUGAAGCAAAGAAGCAUCGGAAGAAAGUUUCGUAACUUUUUUGGAUGCUCAAAUCCGAUAGCUUUUCGUUUUAGAAUGGGUCAUCAAAUCAAGAAAAUUCGAGAGAGGUUUGAUGAGAUUGCAAAAUUGAGGGGUGAGUUUAAUCUCAUUGAACGACUUGACGAUCAUCGGCGAGUUGUGCACAAAGAAAGGGAAUCCACUCACUCGUUUGUGCUUUCAUCAGAUAUUAUUGGAAGAGAUAAAGAUAGAGAAAAGAUUAUUGAACUAUUGAUGCAAGCAAGUUCUGGCGAAAGUGAAACUCUGUCUGUUAGUCCUAUUGUGGGAAUUGGAGGUCUGGGCAAAACUGCUCUUGCACAGUUGGUGUUCAAUGACCAAAGGGUAGAAGAGCAUUUUGAGUUGAAAAUCUGGAUACGUGUUUUUGAGGAUUUUGGUGGGAGACAAAUUAUGAGAGAGAUUAUGGAGUCGAUCAUUGUACAAAUUAUGAGAAAGUGUGCGUUCCUAGGUGACUUGAAUACACAACAAUUGCAACGAAUCUUGCGAGAUCGUUUGAAUAGUAAGAGAUACUUGCUUGUUAUGGAUGAUGUAUGGAACGAAGAUCCUGAAGCAUGGCGUAAAUUAAAAAGCUUAUUGUUGGGAGGUGCUAACGGAAGCAAAAUUUUGGUAACCACACGUAGCAGGAAGGUUGCUUCAAUCAUGGGCACGAGGGGAGGUACUACUGGCUACAACUUACAAGGUCUACCAUUCGAGGAUUGCUUGUCUUUGUUUAUGAAAUGUGCAUUUAAAGAAGAGCGAGAUAAACAUCCAAACCUCAUAAAAAUCGGGGAAGAAAUUGUGAAAAAAUGUGGGGGAAUUCCUCUGGUAGUCAGAGCACUAGGAAGUCUAUUAUAUUGCUCAACGGAUGAACAUGAUUGGGAAUAUGUGAGGGAUAAUGAGAUAUGGCAGUUAGAGCAAAAGGAAAGUGGCAUUUUACCUGCUCUGAGGUUAAGCUACGAUCAAUUGCCGCCUCACCUGAAACAAUGUAUUGCUUAUUGUUCAAUCUUUCCCAAGGAUUAUCAAUUUUAUGGUGAGUCUUUGGUUCAAUUUUGGAUGGCUCAUGGUCUUCUCCAAUCCCAUAAUAAGAAUAAGGAGUUAGAAGAUAUUGGUAUGCGGUACUUGAAGGAAUUACUGUCAAGAUCUUUCUUCCAAGAUUUGAUUUUUGGGAUUUCAGGAAUGGAGACUCUCUCUUUCAAAAUGCAUGACCUUAUGCAUGAUCUUGCCCUGCUAGUGGCCAAAGAUGAAUUCCUAGUAGUGAACUCUGAUUGUCAAUCUAUUCCCAAAAGAGUCCGCCAUUUGUCAUUUGCUGCUGCUAAUGCAUCAAGGAAUGACUUUUCAAGCCUUUUAUCUGAUCUAGGUCGCUUGAGAACCAUUUUCUUUUCAACUGAUGAUGAUGAGAAGACAAGCCAGUCAUUUAUUGAAUCAUGCAUCUCAAAGUCACAGUUCCUAAGAGUGCUAGAUUUAAGUGGCUCUGCUAUUGAGGUUUGUCCAAGAGAGAUGGGUAAUUUGAAGCACACGAGAUAUCUUGAUCUGUCGAAAAAUUAUAAAAUCAAGAAACUUCCAAAAUCCAUUUGCGAGCUACAGAGUUUACAAACACUGAAUCUUGCUGGAUGUUUGGAGCUAGAAGAGUUGCCUAAAGACAUAAGGUACCUUGUCAAUCUCAGAUUGUUAGCGCUAACCACAAAACAGAAGUCUUUGCAAGAGAGUGGAAUAAGGAGCUUGGGUUCUCUUCGUUGUUUGUCAAUUUCUAGUUGCUGGAAUUUAGAACAUUUGUUCGAGGAGAUAGAUCAAUUAAGUGUCCUUCGAACAUUAUCAAUUGAAAGUUGUCCUCGUCUAAUCUCAUUGCCACCUGCUAUCAAAUAUCUUAGCUCAUUAGAGAAUUUGUAUUUGGCUAGCUGUGAAAGCCUUGAUCUUAAUUUGAACAUGGAAAUGGAAGGUGAAGGAAGUCAUCAUGAUCGCAAAAACACAAGGCCUCACAUUCGGAGGGUUUUCAUCAAGGAAAUAACACAGUUAUUAGAACUGCCACAAUGGCUUCUUCAAGGUUCUACUGAUACUUUACAGAACUUGUUAAUUCUUGGUUGUCCCAACUUCAUGGCACUACUAGAGUCACUGAGAAAUUUUGAAGCACUUGAGGGUCUUGUCAUCAGGAAUUGUCCAAAAUUGUCAUCGCUGCCAGAGGAUAUGCAUCACCUCACUACUCUGAAAUCAUUGGCCAUUGCAGGAUGUCCUGCACUGAGUGAACGAUGCAAACCGCCAACAGGUGAAGAUUGGCCCAAGAUUGCACAUAUCCCUGAGAUUUUACUUGAUGGCGAGAUGAUUAAAUCAAGUGAUUAUUAGGUAUGGAUUUUUUUUUCAAUAAGCAUACCACUCUGUUAUAUUUCCUCUUUUCAUGCAGCUUUCUAAUUUUUAAUUUCUCAUACGGCUACACCGUUUAUAGUUUAAUGUUUUGUUAUGUUUACCAAACGAAAACUUGACUUUGAACGUUAGUUAGUUCAAUCAAAUUUGUACUAAUUUAUUUUCUUCUAAUACAUAACUAGUUUGUCAGUACAAAACACAAAAAUAAUAUUUUGGAAACCGCACUGUUCUAGGGGUCAGAUCUGUUUCUAAAUUCAAACAGUUCAGGAUUUUUAAAAAUGGAACUUAUAAUGAGAUUUUUUUUUAAUUAUCUAGUUAUCUUCAUAUGGAAUUUCAAUCUUUGUUAAUACUUUAACUUGUGCCGAAACAUCUAACUAUUCUUCCUCUUAUCCUUUUUUUUUUCCCAAAUAUUGCAGCUUUCUUGGGAGAGGUUCAACCAAACUGCAGGGACAGUGAAAAUAUUACUCUAACGUUGUUCAGAACAGAGCUUCAACGGUUUUAAUGUUGUGUUUUAAAGUUACAAGCAUUAUAUAUUCGUUACGUGUGGUUAUGUAAUUUGCUGAUAAACAAGUACAUUGAGUGAGGUAUAUGUGUGUGCCUGUGUGGUCAUUACUGAAUUUCUCAGUAAUAUUAUUUGCAUUGACUGCAGAUUUGUGAAGAACAUUGAUGUGUUGUGUAAUGGGAACGGUGGUGUCUGUAUUUUGUGCUCUGUGAUUGACGACUUACAUUUGCCCAGGAAGAAAUGAAAACAAAUCGGCUUCUUGAAAUUAACCAUUUAUUCUUUCGAAUGGUAACCUUUUUGUGACAUGAUUCGCAUAUUAAUCAAAAGCAGUUAGCAAACUAAUUAGAUAUUGCAUCGUGAUUCGUGGCCUUGAAGUGAAAUGAGUGAGCAUGUUUGUGGAGGUUUUUGUUUUUGUUUUUUUUUUCCUCCAUAUAAAAUGACUAAUUCGAAAGAAUAUGUAUUGUAAUAGAACCUAGAACUUCUAUGUAUUUUAGGAUGAAAAUUCUGUACAAUAGAAAAUAUUAAAACGAAAAUUAAAGUUGAUAUGAGAAAAUUAAAGAAGCUUGCAACUGCAAUCUAGCUCGACCUACUAUAUAUAUAUAUAUAUAUAUAUAUAUAUAUAUAUAUAUAUAUAAAAUUAAUUGAUCAGGUAAGAUAGAGAGAGACUCUCGGACUCUUUACAAGGAGCAAAAAUGGUAUGAAACUCUGUUUUGAUUAAAAUUCAAUGACUUUCUUCGUAUUAAUCAAAUUAAUUAAUUAAUUAUUUUGGUAAAAAGAAUUUGCCAAUUGUGUGGCGGUCUUGAGACCCUUGACGGUGGUGAAAUUUAUUCACGAUUUCAAAUGAAGACAUGCAGCGGAUGCGUGCGUGCCGUAUGACAUCGACGAAAAAGUAAAGAGUUUGAAUGAAACAAUCCUAAUGUUCACUUUCUUCUUCGAUUUCAUUUUACGACUUAACAAAAACGAGAUGCUCCUGAUGAGGGAAAGGAGAAGAAGACACAGCGAGUUCGCAAGAACGUGUACAGAGGAAUAAGGCAGAGGCCAUGGGAGAAAUGGGUAGCUGAAAUUAGAGACCCUUACAAGGGCGUCCGCGUUUGGCUCGGCACAGCCGAAAAAGCAGCAAGAGUUUAUGCUGACGUCGCUAAGAAUAUUCGUGGCAACAAGGCCUAGCUCGACUUUGCUCACCGGCCGCCAGUAACUCCACCUCCAGGUAAGAAACGCUUCGUGCUAUCCCGUGAGUUGACUCAGCCGAGUUUCGGAGAUUACUUUUUUAUUGGAUGCCCUUUAAUAAACAGCUUUCCUAAUAACAACUGAAGCUCUGUCGAAUCAUCAUAGACAAUUUGUGAUUAGUGGGAGCAUUACAAGAAAGUUACAACUACUUCAAACUGUUAGAUUUGUUAAUAUGAUUCGGCUAUAGUUCUAUAAUUGGUGAGUUUUUGUGGGUUUGUUUGAUUUUUUUUUGUGGGUUUGUUUCUCAUAAUCUUUAUCCAGUCAAAGCAAACGUUCGCCUCUCACAUUGACGGUUAGGCUAGAUGUUUGACCCUGAAUAAGAUGAUUGAGUUUAUUAUAGUCUUCUUAUAUUGUCGGUUCAAUAUCAUUUUGAAAUAUCACAUCAAUUCCGCUUUUGGAGUUUUAAUCCAUGCCCAGUUACGCCUUUAUUUUACUUUUAAGCUGCAACAUUGAGUCACAUUCUUUUUCUGUUUUUAUUACGAUUAGCGACUGGUACAGUGGUAUUUGAACUGCAUAGCUUGAACUGCAUAGACUGUCUUCUCUUUCUGGUUCAGUUUCGACCUUUGGGGCUGUUUUAGACAUGGUAACGGAUAGGUAAUUUCUCUCUACCCCACCCCCCAAUGUAUCAUUAGUCAUCAUUCGUUCUGGUUGGUGGAGAUACGCAUACUAAUUUGGAUUAUUGUCCGUGCCUUCGUCUUUUGUCAAUAAUCUUUUGCAUUUCAGGAUUAGUACAGCUUGUCUACUGGUAAUACUCUCUCAAGUAUACAGGUAAGACUUUGUUACGUUUUCUUGACCCGUAAUCUAAUGUUUUAAGAUGAAGGCAUAAUUGAGCUAUUUUGCUUCUCCAUGCAGGCCUGGUUUGGUUUUUGUGUCACUACCUGCAUUAGAUAUUGGUAGUCAAUGGCUGCAGAUGUACGGGUACCUUUUUGUUUCCCUGACAUAAUCUCACGUUACAUGAAAUUGCUCGUGGAACUGGGAGAUUUUUUAUUUUUUGUUUUUUCAUAUUUACUAAAGAAAAGUGUUACUUUCGUUGGGAAAAAUGCCUACCACUCUUUAUCUCUGUUGCAGUACAUUCUUAACAGGAAAAACUAGCCAUAAAGAUGCAAAAGACAGCAAAAAUUGGCCUUUCAAAGCCUAUUAUGGGAACCGGAUGUUUAUGGGUUAUUGUUGUGUGGUGUGUGAGGAAUUGUAGCUUUCCGUGUUAUUAUACAUAUCAGGAUUUGCAAAUGUUAUCAGUACUUUUUACCUGAUCCAACUGUUUCAACCCUGCAGCUUCUUUACCUAAUCCUAUUUCUUAUUGCGGAUAAGCAGAGGGAAAGCUUGGUGGAUGUAGGCUCUCAUUUUCUUACUAUUAGAUUGUUCUAAAAAUAGAAAUAUUUCCCCUGUUUCUCGAUUUUCAAACAAUUUCUUCUUUCAGGUUGUGGCGAGUGCUGUGCAACAGGGUUCGCCUCUUUCCUUCCUAGUUGCAUUGAGUUUAUUCGCAUGGGCGCAAUCAAGCAAACGAUUAAUGUCGUACAGGUAACUUCAACCCCAUAUGAUGGUAAUGUUCGUUUAAAUAAAUUUCUUGAUGUCUACAAAUUAAGGAAACCUUUGUAUGGGUAAAGUUGACAUUUUACACUGGCAUUAUGGGUCUUGAAAUCGGUCUGUUUCAGAUUCACAUGUUGUGAUAUGCUCUAAUGUUAAAACUCAAACCUCUUCUGUAUGUUAAAUGGAUUGUCGUGGAUAUGCCUGGGAUGAUCAUUUUCUUCGUUUUCACUCAUCGUCUUUGUCAUUGUAGUUAUAAUUGAUUGUGGAGAGUGAAAACGCACUGUGAUGAAUGAAUGCAAAAGCUAUGCAAUUAAGACUACAUUUAUUAGGUUGGUGACCACAAAUAAUCGGAAGGAUAUUCACAAUAGUGUUAUUGAAGCUCUAUAUGGAAUAAGGAGACCAAACCUGUAUGUGAUAAGAGUUGUAUGAAUACCAAAUGAAUUGUCAGAGGAUAUGGUUACUUUAGAUUGCAAUUUAAGAAUGCUUGAGUUCUAAAAGCACAGAAGUGGGAUCAGUCUCUUGCUCGAGGGUAAACUCCUUCGUCAGUUAGUGAACUGUCCAUCAAAAGUAAAUAUUUAUGUGAUUGAGAGAAAUUUUGGAUUUUUGAUGAAAACAAAAAUCCUGUAUGCAUUUGCUUGCCCCCAAGGAGCUGAAGAUUCUCAAAUUGUUUGUAGACGUAAUAGUUCUUCUGAUAUCAUUUGGUUUGCUAAUCUUUCUUGCUCGAAAAUUUACCCGUUGUGUGGUCUUGAUGGUGGGUGAAAUUGAUAUGUGGUUUCAGAUGAAGACGGCAGCAGAUAUGUGUGUGCCAUAUGACAUCGAGAAAAAGCAAAAGCCUUAAAGAGUUCAUCAACAUUUUCCAUUCAGAAGAAUCUGUUUUGUGGUUUUCAUGCUCGAGUGCCUACUUUUCAGUAUGCAAGCAGAGGAUUUGGCAUUAAUUUGGGGAAGCCUUUUUUUUGGGUAUAUGAGUGUGUGCAUUCCUUCAAUCACGUAGCUUUGUGCCAUUAACAUAAUGGCAAUUCCACAAUUGUGAUAAUGAUAAUUUUAUGAUUGGGGCAUAUUGUUAGGAACUCUUCACUGGUUUUUCUUUCCCCAUCUGUGUCUAUGAUUAAGGUUGUUUAAGGUGUUAUGGCUUUUAUUCUGCAAUCAUUGCGAAAGGGACUCACUAGCCGGCAAAUAGUAAAACAUAGUGCUGUCAAAUUUUAUAAGGAUUAUAUAUACAUACUCUUUCGUCUUCAAUGCACCGAAACUGGGGAACCAUCUAUAUGAUUUUCAUUCAGAAAAACCGGCGGGAACUAAUGACUUUCAUGAUUAAAAGUAGGAUUAUCAGAUUAUGGAGCAUUGUUAUGUAACGUUUUAUGGUUAUCUUAAGGCAAAAGUUGGCUUGGAAAUUAACUGAAAGGCAAUAUUCAUUCUAUCAUAAAACAAGUGUUUUUUUCACAAGGGGAGAAGAUUCCCUUUAUAAUUUACUAAUUUAUGCAACCGUUAAUAUUAAAACAAAUUUUUUUUAUAUUAAGGAUGAUGAUUCUUUUUCCCUUAGUAGUAAAGUCUGUAUAUAACAUAUGAUGUAGUAAGCAAGGAAUCAAUUUAUCCCCUAUUUUGUUUUUCUUACUUUUUUUUCCCAAAAUAUUGCAGCUUUCUUUGGAGAGGUUCAGCCAAACUGCUGAGACCGUCAGUACAGAGGUUCAACGGUUUUAUAAUACUGCAUUUUAAAAUUACAUAUAUUAUAUAUUCUGUGAAAUAUGAACUAAAUACUCAGUAUGUGUUAACGCGACAUGUCAUCUGAUAAGCAUUUGAAACAAAAACCGACAUGAGCCAAAAUGUCGUUCUUUGUUUAAGUAACUCACAUGCUUGGCACGUGAGCUGAAGAAACUGGUUUAUCUCUAAAUGACUAAGAAAGAAGUUGUUUUGGGCAUGCUUAAUCAAGACACGUUGCAAGCACGUGACUGAGGCAAGAAGUCUGUUAUGAUUAGCGGGAAAAGCCACUGAGAAGUAAUCCAGAAUCAGUUGAUAAAGAGCUGGGGUUCUGGGUUUUCAAUAUAUAUCAGAAAACUUGAGAGAGAGCAAGAAAGAGGGAAUGCGAGAGAGAGUUGAUUAAAAGGCUUGUAAUCUCCAUUUGUGAUUGUUCUCUGUAAACUCUUGAAAGCAAUAAAGUGAAACCAUAGAGCUUGUUUCCAGUGGAUGUAGGCAUCAUUCAUUUGGUGCUGAACCACUUUAAUCCGUGUGUAUUUUGUGCUUGAUCUUUUUGUUAUUCUUGAAUCUCAGUGGAUUGAUUUCUUCUUGGUUAGUUCUUGAUCAAAACCAGUGAGUUAAGUGUUCUUGGGGUGGGUUUAGUCUUGAUAGAUAGGGCUUAAAACACAACAAAUUGGUAUCAGAGCUACUGCUCUCUGGCUUUAGAUUCAAGAAAUGGGUACCAAGAUCGACCUGGAGAAAUUUAUAGGGCAAAAUGAUUUCAACAUGUGGAAGAUCAAGAUGGAGGCUUUGCUAAUCACUCAAGGUUUGGGAAAUGCCAUCGAACCAGAUUUCAAGAAAGAGGGGCUGGAGGGCUCUUCUUCUACUACUCCUGAACAAGCAGCUGAGAUAGAUAAAAGGGCAAGAAGCACGAUCAUUCUCAGCCUAGGGGAUUCUGUGAUAAGGGAGGUGGCAAAAGAAAGAACUGUUGCAGGGCUAUGGACAAAAUUAGAAAAACUGUAUAUGACAAAAUCUCUUGCAAAUAGGCUGUACAUCAAAAAGAAAAUGUUCUCGUUAAGGAUGAUUGAAGGAUCAUCACUUGAUGAGCACAUUAAUGAGUUCAACAAGGUGUGUGAUGCUCUGGAGACAAUUGAUGAAGGCUUGAGUGAUGAGAGUAAAGCACUACUGUUAAUCAGCUCAUUGCCUAAAUCAUAUGAGCAUUUUGUUGAUGCCCUUUUGUAUGGAAGACAAACACUUUCUUUGGAAGAGGUUAAAUCAGCUCUUGGCACAAAGAAACUGAAAGACAAGCAAGAGAAGGUUGACAGUGAGUCUAGUGAGGGUUUAAUGGCCAGAGGCAGACCUGAAAAGAGGGAAGGCAAAGGAAAGAAGCAUGGAAGAUCUAAGUCAAAACAGAAACAGCUUAAAUGUUUCCAUUGUCACAAGGAAGGGCAUUUCAAGAGGGACUGCCCUGAGAGGAAGUCCAAGAUUAAAGAUUCAAAGGAUAAAGUAGGAAAUGCAGCAAUUGCCACAGAUGAAUCCAGUUAUGAAACAGCUGAAGUACUCAUAGCUUCCAAAGAAAAGAUUCAAGGUGAGUGGGUUCUUGACUCAGGAUGCACCUUCUAUAUGUGUCCAACCAGAAACUAUUUUACAUCAUAUCAAACCUGUGAUGGUGGUAUGGUAUUAAUGGGGAAUAACUCCAUAUGUAAAGUAGUUGGUAUAGGAACUGUGAGUCUGAAAAUGUUUGAUGGUGUAGUGAGGGAAAUCACACAAGUCAGACAUGUCCCUGACCUUAAAAGAAAUUUAAUUUCUGUGGGGAUGUUAGAUCAGAUGGGAUGUAUUGUGAAGGCUGAAAGAGGUGUGCUGAGAGUGAUAAAGGGCUCCAUAGUCAUAAUGAAGGGUAACAAAAACAAUGGCCUGUAUGUUUUGAAUGGACAAACAGUCAUUGGGGAAGCAAGUGUAACUGAGAGUGGUGAGGAUAAAUCUAAGCUCUGGCACUUGAGGUUAGGACAUAUGAGUGAGAAGGGGCUGAAGGAACUGGAAAAGAAAGGGGUGUUUGGGAGAGAUCAGCUGAACUCUUUGGGAUUCUGUGAAGACUGUAUACUAGGGAAGGCUUCCAGGAUAAAGUUUGAAUCUGCAGUUCACACUACCAAAGAAAAGCUUGGCUACAUACACUCAGAUCUGUGGGGACCUGCACAGGUAACCUCUCUAGGUGGCUGUAAAUUUUUCUUGACCUUUAUAGAUGAUUUUUCUAGGAUGGUGUGGGUUUAUGCUCUAAAAACUAAAGUUGAAGUCCUUGAAAAGUUCAAAAGGUGGAAAGUUUUGGUUGAAAACCAAACAAAUCUGAAGGUGAAAGUAUUAAGAACAGACAGUGGGCUGGAAUACUGUAACAAGUUGUUUGAGGAUUACUGUGAGAAGAAUGGUAUUUUGAGGCAUAAGACGGUAACAUACACUCCUCAGCAAAAUGGUCUUGCUGAGAGAAUGAAUAGAAUAUUAAUAGAGAAAGUGAGAUGUUUGCUGAUCCACUCAAAGUUACCUAAAGCUCUCUGGGCUGAAGCCUUAAACACAGCCUGCUAUUUGGUCAAUAGAAGUCCAUCAACAGCUAUAGGCUGUAAGACACUAAUGGAAAUGUGGUUAGGAAGGGUAGCUGAUUACUCUAAGUUCAGAAUUUUCGGCUGUGAAGCAUAUGCACAUGUGAAACAGGGGAAGUUAGAGGCAAGAGCUUUGAAGUGCAGAUUUCUGGGCUAUCCUAAGGGGGUUAAGGGCUACAGAUUAUGGUGUACUGACUUCAAACCUCCAAAGUGCAUAAUCAACAGGGGUGUUACCUUCAAUGAAGCUGAAAUGUUGAACAAAAGAAGGAGUUCUGAGUUUAAAGAAAAGAAUCCAGAAGCUGAAGAUGAUAAGAUUCAGUUGAGGUGAAGCAUGUUGAAGAUAAGAAAUCUGAAACACCUACAACAAAAGAAUCAGGAGAGGUUGAUGAUGGAUCUUAUGAUGAAGAAGGAUCAGAAUCAACUGAGAGUGGUAGUAACACUUACCAACUAGCAAGGGACAGGAAAAGGAGAACAAUCAGACCACCAAAGAGGUAUGCAGUUGCAGAUUUAAUUGUUUAUGCUUUAUCAGCUGUUUUAUUUGCUGUUUUUUGCUGCUAAUUUUUUUUUUACUCUGUUAGAUAGCUGUCAGUUAGUUAACCAAUUUAUGUUACUCUUCAUUGGCUAGCCAAUUAAGAGCCUACAUCUGGAAGUCACAGGUGAUUUUAUUUGAAGGCAAUUUGUUCUAGGCUAUAUGCGGAUUUUUAUCUUGAUUUCUGUAAGCUUGAAGGAGAUUUUUUUAUGCGUGAGAGCUUGAAAAUUAUACAUGUACAUGUUGAAACUAUUGGAUAUAUGUUAAGAAUCAAGCAUAAUUGUGUCAAGAUGAAACCAUAAUUUGGGUGUUGUUUUAUGAGUAAACUAUCUGCAAUUUGGGGGCAGUAAACCUAGGUUGAAUACCAGGACAUGGUAUAAAAGUGAAAUCACACAUUGAAUCUCGCAUAAAGAUUUUAAAGAUGCAAAUUCGAAUUGUACAUGAGAUGUUAUCUUGAUCGAAUUGCAGCGGCUUUGUUUUGGAUCCAGAAAACAAAAUUGUAAGCACAGAGAAGUCUCUAUGGGAUGCUUAUAUUAAGGUACAUAAUGGCCUCAUUGAGUUUUGUGCUGUUGUUCUACGUUGUUUGAGUUUUGUGCUGCUGUUCUUUGUUGCUGCUUUUGCUACCGAUUUUGGCUAUUUUCUGCCACUCUGUUAUUUGCUAUUUUUACUACUUUGGCUGCUGAUUUUUGCUGUUUUCGCUGCUUUAGCUGUUGUUUUAUCUGCUAUUUUUUUUUACAGCUUUUAUUGUUGAUUUUUGCUGUUCUCUAUCGUGUUUUACCCACUGGUUGUCGCAUGUUUAUUAAUAUUGUUUGCAGCUGUUUUAUUUGCUGUUUUUUGCUGCUAAUUUUUUGUUUUCUGUUUUCUGCGGUUAUUUGCUGCCGUUGCUGUUUUACUCGCCAGUUGAUGAUGUUUUGUGGUUCUCCUCCUCGAGUGCCUACUUUUUCCAGUGUGCAAGCAUAUCUGUUGAGAGUGGCUGAUGAAAUCACUAAACUGUUACAGUUGAUCUCAUGCUUCUCUAGAGAAGGAAUUAGACUUAUUUGGGUGAAGGGGUUUUUUCUGGUUUUUAUAUCAAUGUGUGCAUUUCUUCAAUCACGUAGCUUUGUGGCAUUACGAUCGAUAAUGGCAACUCCACAAUGAUGAUAAUGAUAAUUUUGUGAUUCAAACACGUUGUUAGGAAUUAUGUAUUGGUUUUUCUCUCGCCUUCGGUGUCGACGAUGAAGCAUAUAAUGGCUUUUAAUCUGUGCAGAAAAUCAGAAGCUUAUAAAUGGACUGAAAUUCAGCAGAGAUCUAUCAGUCACACACCUUCUCUUUGUCGACGAUAGUCUGGUCUUUACAAAGGCAUCGAUUAACGAUUGCAAAAAUUUAAGAAAGAUCUUUGACAACUAUGCAGCAGCCUCAGGACAUGUGUUUAACUUCGAGAAGUCCUCUAUGUUCUUUAGCAGCAGCACAAGUUCAGGUCAAAGGGAGGAAAUCAGAAGUAUUUUCGGUUUGAAUGUCGUUUCAAAACAUGAAAAGUAUCUGGGACUUCCAUCGAUGAUAGGGAGGAAAAAGACUAGCUUCUUCAACGACAUAAAACUGAGAGUGCUAAGCAAGCUAUCAAGUUGGCAAAACAAGUGUUUCUCAAGUGGGGGAAAAGAAAUACUCAUCAAAGCUGUGGCACAAGCUGUGCCUGCCUAUGCGAUAAGCGUAUUUAAAAUUCCUCAAGGGCUGUGCGAUGAUAUACAAAAGGCUGUAGCAAGGUUCUGGUGGGGAUCAUCCGAAACUCAUAGAAGUAUUCAUUGGGCAAGGUGGGAGAAAUUGUGUCAGGCCAAGAUCAGGGGUGGUCUGGGUUUUAGGGACUUUUCAAGCUUUAAUCAAGCCCUUGUCGCCAAACAGGGGUGGAGGAUUCUACAUAAUCCUGAUGCUUUAAUGUCAAAAAUUUUAAAAGCCAAGUGCUUCAAGCAUACUGACUUUAUGGAGGCAAAAUUGGGGUCAAAUCCCUCCUUUGUUUGGAGAAGUAUAUUAUGGGGGAGACAAGUGUUGCACAAAGGCUUGAGGUGGAGAAUAGGUAAUGGAAACCGGGUCUCAGUGUCCAGCAGGAAUUGGAUGCAAAAACUCGAAUGUUCUAGCUAUGUUCCUCACCAAAAUUUAGCAGAAAAUGUUGUUGUUGCUGAUUUUAUUGACCACAAAAAUCAGUGGAUGGAGGAGAAGGUUGUGCAAUGUUUUCCCGAAGAGGUGGCACAAAGGAUUCUAAGAACCCCUCUGCCAAGAACUCCCCAGGAAGACCGGAUGAUUUGGCACUUUGAUAAGUAUGGCUGUUACUCAGUAAGAAGUGGAUACUAGGUGGCAGUUGGAAUGAAAUUCCUAGAUAAUCCGGAGUGCUCUGAUAGCUCUAAAACUCAAUGGAAGGUGAUUUGGUCAAAUGAGAUUCCAGAAAAAAUAAAAAUUUUCAUGUGGAGAGCUGCUCAGAAUCUAUUACCAACAGCCAAUAAUCUAUGGAGGAAAAAUGUGGUGGGGAAUCCAGCCUGUCAAAGAUGUCAUUGUAAAAGUGAGAAUGUCACUCAUGUGUUAAUGGAGUGUAAGGCUGCUUGGAAAGUCUGGAAGUUGACAGAUUUUUACGAAGAUAUGAAGUUGUUGUCUCAGCAUGACAUGCUGAGUAUGCUCCAAGAACUAGCCUUGAGAAGAAUGAAGGAAGAGAUUGAGCAGAUUCUUGCAAUAUGUUGGGCCAUUUGGUAUGCGAGGAACCGCUUUGUAAUUGAAGGAAAGCAGGAAGAGCCAAAACUGACAGUAGCUAGAGCAUCAGCUAUUGUGGAGUCAUAUAAGAGAAUCAAAACCCAAAACGGUCCAGCUAGAUCAAUUCAUCAUCAAAACAACCAACAAAUUUGGACACCCCCUCCAGAGGGGAAGUAUAAAGUCAAUGUGGAUGCUGCAAUUCAAAUGGCAGGUCUGAAGGCAGGGUUGGGGGCAGUGGUUAGAAAUUCCAAUGGAAAAAUCAUUGUUGCAGCUGUUAAGAAGGUGGGCUUCCAGGGAACAGUGGCAAGCAUGGAGGCUGAAGGAGUCCUCUUUGGCAUUCAAGUUGCCCAACAAGUAGAAUAUUUGCCCAUGAUUAUUGAAUCGGACUCAACAGAAGUGGUGGAGCUAGUCUGGAGCAGGAAAAGCAGCUUGACUGAAGUUUCUUGGACAGUAGAAGAAAUAAAACAACAGCUGCAGAUCUCGAAUGCAUUUUCAUUACAGUAUGUUCCAAGGAAGUGUAAUGCCAUAGCUCAUGCUAUAGCAAAAGUGGCUCUGGAUUUUGAGAAUUCUGUUAUAUGGCUGGAAGAGUUUCCAGUCCAGAUCAUGAUGUUACUCUCAAAGUUUAUCAAUUAGAAAGCUUUACUUUCUUUUCAAAAAAAAAAAAAAAAAAUAUGCAACUGCUGCAAAAUGGACUCACUAGCUAGCAAAUAAUAAUAUAUAGUGCUGUCAAAUUUAUAAAGAUUGUACCAAAUGAUUGUGGUUCAGUUGGCAGCGCAGGCUGAGUUUGUGGAAAGAGCUCUCGGGUUCGAUCCCCACUAAACACACCAUUUGGGAGGGGUAAAGAGCCUUAACUGUGCUACACCCCGAAUCCGGAUUAGUUGGGGCUCAAUGCGGUCGCCGGAUACCGGAUGACUUACAAAAAAAAAGAAAAAUUAUAAAGAUUAUAUAUACACACACUUUCGUGUUCAAUGCACCGAUACUAGAUGUACAUUGGCAUUUAGAAAAGUUGGCGAUAACUAAUGACUUUCAAGAUUAAUUAAAUGACAAUAUUCAGUCUAUCAUAAAACAAGUUUUCAACAAGUGAAGAGGAGGUACUCUUUAUAAUUGGAUAAUUAAUGCAACCUUCAAUAUUUUCAACCAAAAAAAAAAUGAUAUUUGAUAUGUAUUCAACAUUAGGGAAAAACCACCCAUAUCGAAGGUUUGCUUAAAUGAUCAAAUAAAUCCACUUAGUUUCGUAAAUGGUUGUACAUAUCCUCUUUUUGACUAUUUAUUGGGUUAUGUUUGAGAGUUAGGACUAAGUGUGGGAUUAUACUAACUUUGAGAUUAAAUAUUAUUCUAUAUUUAGCAAUUUUCCUUGGAUUGGAUUAUGAGAGACUAAAUUCUAAAUUAGUUGUUAAAUAAAAGGGAUUGGCAAUACCAAUCUAUAAAUAGAUUUAAAUGGGAUUAGAAUAAGAGGAAAAAAUGUUCAUUUGUAAUAUUUCUUUCAUAUAUAACACCAUCUUUUAUUUAUUACUUAAAAUUUAAUUAAUGAGUUAAUUAUUUUAUUCAUCAUUUACUUGAAAUAUAUUUUUUAUUUUGUUUUUAUAUUCUAAUUAAAUUGGUACCUUAAUUUGAUAAUUUGUUACAUUAAUUGAUUGUACUAAAUUUAAUAAUCACCUAUGUAAUAUUAAAAUAUAAUUAUGAAAAUUAAUAAUACUAGUAAUUAAUUGAUUUUAUAAAUUAUUUGUUAAUUUUUUGAUAAAAUAAAAUAUAUAUCUAAAAUAUCUAAAUAAUCAAAAACUUUUAUUAAUUUAUAUUUUUUAUUACAAUUAUGACUACCCAUAAGUAAUUUACUGUAUAUUUAAUGUUCUUAUUAAUUAUAUUUAAAUUAAUCUUAAUUAUUAUUCUUAAAUAUUCAUAAAUAUUUUUUAUUUAAAUAUAAUUUAAUAUUGUCUAAUCCAAUGUUGUACCAAACAUAAGACAGUAGUGUAUAAUCCAACAUAAUACUUAGUCCAAUUUAAUCUUGCUUGCCAAAUGUAAUCUUAUACACUUUGAUUACAACAAGCCAAUAAUUGACUUAAAUAAACUUCUAUAACAAUUAUAAGUUAAAAUUAAAAUAAUAUGAUAUAUAAAAUAAGAUAAAAUUUAUAAAUUAUUUUGAUUAUUAGAAAAAUGAUUUUAACAUUAUUAAUUUGUCAUAUUCUUUUACUACUAAUAAAAUCUGUUUGACAAAUUAAUAAUAUUAAAAUAAUUAUACCUAACAUUCACAAUAAUUUAUAAAAUUUAUAUAUUUUGUUUACAAUUUUUUUUAAUUAUGUCUAUAUUAAUAUAAAUCUUAAAGUCAAUUUUUGGAUUAAUAGAUUUUAGUAUAUAUAAUAAUAACUUAAUAUUAAAAAUAAUUUUCAUUACAUACGUUAUUCUAUUAAUUAUCUUAUUGUAAUAUUUUAUUUGUAUCAUAUGAUAUUUAUUAAUUAUUAUUUUAUCUUAUUACUAUAUUUAUAUUUAUUUGUGUUGUUGUAAUCAAAGGGUAUAGUAACUAAAAAUGUGUUUAUGUGACUAUUUAACCUAAAGGGUCUUUGUGACCAUUUAAGUAAACCUUAGAAAUGUGUGACAAUAGUCAUUCUAAUGACUUUCAAGAUUGAAAAUGAGUCGGAUUAUCAAAUUAUGAAGCAUUGAUAUGUAAUGUUUUAUGGUUAUUUUAAGGUUGAAGUUGGUUUAUUCAUUAAACAAGCUUUUAACAAGAGGAGAAGGUUCCCUUUAUAAUUUAAUAAUUAAUACAACCUUCAAUAACAAAAAAGUCAUAUAAUAAGGAUGAUGAUUCUUGCUCACUUGGAUAAGAUAUAUAUAUAUAUAUAUAUAUAAAUAUAUAUAUAUAACCUAUGAUGUGGUAAGCAAGGAAUCAAUUAUGUAUUUCUUGUAUCUGAAAAAAUGAAUAAUCCUUUAACGAAGGUUAUCAUCAAUUGCAGGUUUCUAGUUUGGCUACUUAGUUUUAGGACUACGAAUAUUACAAUAUCAUAAUUAAAGGAAAGAAUAUAGGCGGUAGUCUUUGCCUGAUCUACUUUCUUCUUUUUAAUUAACCACUUGAAAGGAAAGAAUAUUGUAUACGCAGCACACUAUAAUACUCUAAUUACCAAUUCUUUCUUAUAAUAUAAGUUCAUAGUGAUUAAUUUGUCCUUCUUCAGCAAAAAACAAAUCCCAUUUCAGCACAUCUACAAGAGCCCUCAUUUCUCUUUGCUACAGCCAAUUGAUAGCUGAAUCAUCACAUACACCUUGAGCUCCGUCGAUCAUCAUAGACAAUUGGUGAUUAGUGGGAUAUUACAAGAAAGGUACGACGACUACAAACUGAUAGAUUUGUUUAUAUGAUUCGGCUGAAGUUUUUAUAUAUGGUUAAAUUAUGACAAUAAUCAAGAGAUAAUCAUGUACCUCAUUAGUUUCAUAAAUGUACAUACUAAUUUAUUCCCCUGCUUGCCAGAAUCACACAUGUAGAAUAAGAUAAAUUUUAAGAUUUAAACUUUUCAAUUCAUUAAAAAUCUAGUGGGAUAUUAAUCGGUAAAACCACUUAGGGUAGUACAAGAGGUUGUGAUGCUAGCCAAUUUAUGUGAGUGGAGAAAGAAUUAGGUUUUUUUAAUAAAAAUUAAUAAUCAUAAUAAUUAAAAGAUAUAAAUUUCAAGGUUUAAAACUUUACAAUUCAUUAGAAGCAAGAGGGGAUCCUAAAAACUUUGAAUGUAACGUAUCGGUAGUGGAAUGGAUUUUUUAUUUUUUAUUUUUUGGUUGAGACUAUUUACACACUCCUGGGCUUUGAACACAUAUUAGGGUGAGGGUAUUUUAGUAUUUCACUCACUUCUCAAUAAAAUGUUUUGAGGUGAUGCUACCCCUAAACUACUGAUUGAACCCAUUUACUUAAUAAACACACUUCUAAAAUUUAAAAUACACAAUUUUAUUUUACAAAUCCAUUAAUACCUAAAAUACCCUUAUUAAGUUAAAUUAUCACAAUUUCUCUUAUCAUUUUCUUUUCCCAUCAUUUCUCUGUUUCUUGACUCUUUUCUUCUCCAUUUCUGGAGCUUUAUCCAUAACUUUUUUGUUCCAAAUUCUUAAACUUUUUAUUUUAUUUUUUAAUAGCUAUUUUUCCCCUUGAUAUUUCAUGCGUUUGGAACAACACCCUUAAAAAAUUUUAAUAAACAAACAAUAAAUUAAAAUAAACAACUGAUAUUAAAAUUGCAUAUAAAUUUAUAAUAAAUAAAAAAUUUCAAGGAAUUGCAGCAGUUCUUGCAUGGGUUUUUUUUUUUUUCAUUUUAUUAUAUAGAAGAAAGCUUACUAAGUGAGGAGAGAUCAAGAGAAUUCAUUGUCCAAUUCAAAGAAUUCAGAAAAGAUGAAAUUAGAUGGUGGAAGUCAAGAGGAAUUUUACCAACAAUAAGCUUUUAUCCAAAUGCAUUAAAAAUCAUUGAAACUUCUUUCCGCUAACAAAAGUGUAAAUGACAUAGAAAAAGUGAAUACAGUACAUUGAAUAAUGAAAAAUAUGGGAGAAAGGCGGUAAUUUUUUAUUUAAUUUAAUUAUAUAGUCUUAUGUAUUAUAGUAACUUUCUAUGUGAACAUUUUAGUAACAAAAAAAUUUAUUAAAUAUUGGGUUUAAUGAGUAUUUUGUUGCGACAGUCCCACCCAAAAUUUAAUUACAAAAAUUUCAUCAAAUAUUACAUCCAUUUCUUUUCCUAAAGUUUUUUUUCACCAUUUUUUUCUCUUUUCCUCUCCCUCUCUCUCUCCCCUCAGUUGUCCUCUAGUCCUUUGUGGUUCUUAUAUUUUGAAGUUUCUAUUGGAGUAAAACCUCUUUUAAAAUUUCUUAUCAAAAAAAUUAAAAAAUGAAAGUCUCUUUUAAAAUUUUGCCUUCCCCUUACAAUGGUAUAUUAGGAAUAUUAGCAAUUGCAACAGUGGAGGAGUUGUAACAAAACUAUUACAGAGAUAAGAUUUAAUUGAUAAAAGAAAGAUUUAAUGGAAAGUAGUUAGAGAAACAACUAAUAAAAAUUAAUGAUAUUUAUUAGGGGUAUAUUAAGAAUAUUUGUGGCCGCACCUUCAUCUUAUAAUAAUUUUUUAUAUUACUACAAUAAUAACCCUAAUAUAGUUUAAUAUUAAGGACAACGUAAUGAAAUAAUUGUUAUUCUUAUAUCCAUUAAAGAUAUAUUGUUAUUUCAUAAGAGCGAGAACACUCCAAUGCUCAAGUAACAUGUAGAGAGAACUUUGUCAAGGUAUUUCAAUUGUAUGUAAUGCUCUUUGCUAGUGUACCACGUUUAAUAUUUCAAUCAUGACACGUGGCAUUGCAAAUAAUGGCUUUAUUUCAAGUCUUCGUAGGUACUUCGUAGAUUUGCUCGCUCCAGAGCUAGUAUUAGGUCAUCAUGUGCUUCUUUUACUGAUCCACGUGAUUCCUUUUAUCCACGAACACUCCAAUGCUCGUUUAUCAAGGACACAUGUCUUGUCGUCAAAACAUACUAAAAAUAUGGGCAGCGCUUAACUUACAUUUGGUGUAAGUAACAUUCCGAGAAAAUGAAUCGUUGGAUUCCUCAACUUGCUGAUCCAACGGCUGUGAUGAAAGUUAAAGCAAAAUUAGGUUCAGGUACUGGCUGGAAAUUCAUUUUUAAAAACAAAAGAAUGGCAACCUGCUAAAAUGGUUGUUGAAAAAACCAAGCUAAGGGGUUAGUCGGUAAUGAUAAUUUUAGAGGAAAAUGAUGAGUGACGAGCGGUCGUCCGGAUAUUCCAGAAAAUUCAAGAUAGAAAGUACAGUAAUUAGGUUUUGAAAGAGGGAAAGCAAUAGAAGUAGCAAACGAGAUAACCAAAUUCCUAUUUCAUUUUUUCAGAUCACAAAUUGGGGAAACGAAAAAAAUUACAGCACCACUUGUCAAAAAAAAAAAAAAUUGCAGCACCAUAAAAUCGAAGGUAGAGGCGCUGGAAUGUCACAGAAAAUGCUAAAAUUUGAAGCAUCAUCUUGUCAAGUUGUCUUCACCAUAUAUUUUCCCUCACAUCAUUCCUUGUUAUGGGUGGGUCGUUAUUAUUGGAACACGGUGAUUUGGAAAAAUCCCAGAAUUGAUCCUGAUAAAAGCAUGACAGCAAAAUGAGCAUGGGUUACGGCUGUAAGCGAAGUUUAGUGAAGGGCGCAUAUCAAGGGUUAGGAAUGAAAGGAUGAAAGUAGGAAAUUGGUUAGUUUAUUUUAGUGGAAAGGUAAAAUGUUAAGCAAAUAGAAAGAAAUGACAGAGCAAAUUGAACCGGCUAUAAUGAGAAACACCUGAGAUUGACUUUACCGUUGAUCCAUUUUGCAACUGGUUUCCAACCGGUUUCAACAAGUUUUUAUUACUGUCCCAAAUUGACACGUGUUGCGCUUACAUCAAUUAAUUGGUCAUGUCAAUUAUGUUUCUUACAUAAAUUGUAACGUAAGCUUACCCAAAAAUAGGGAAAUUUACAAAAAUAACCAUAAAACUUUGGCUAUUUUCACAAUUAAUCCUCUCAAUUUUUUUCUAUCAACAUUAGCCAAACACAUGCUUUUCUCCCAAAAUUACCCUUCUUUACAAACCAAAAGCAACUUUCUUUCUCCCCUUCCGUGAAACCAAAGGCAACUUUCCACUCUUGAAUCAUCAACCAACGGCAACGGCAAAAGGCAACAAUAAAAGUGAAAUCCGAUCAUAAUCUAUCUGGAUCCAACACUAAUCGGCAUCACAUAGUGGUAUGAGUUAUUUUCUGAACUUGCUUGAAAGUUUCAGUGAAUUGCGUCGUGGGUGAAUCUGGCGACAGGCUGCCUGUCGCACUAAGUCUUGGUGCGACAGGCGCCUGUCGCACCAAGUUUUAGUAUUUGGGGAGGAGAGAUUCCGCGUUUGUAAAGGACAGGAGAGAUUCCGCGUCACGAGUGUUGUCCGCACGAAGCCUUACCUUGUGGCGGAGGUCGCGUGGCUGGAAGAUUUAGACGCCUUGUCGAAUGACGUGGAGACUUACAUGAAGGACGUGAUUCGGUUGUCGAAUCGGCUGAAUGGAAAGCCGGAGAAAGAGGUUGUGGAUCUGCGCAGGAAUUUAUUUCUGACGCCGUUUUCGUUUUUUGUUGGGAGCACUUUUGAAGGUGCGCCCAGAGAGCAACAAGCUUUGCUUGAGUUAGAAGAUACAGCGGCGAGGCUGAAGAGGGAGAAGGAAACUUUGAGGAACACCCUUAAUUACUUGACUGCUGCAUCGGCUAUUAAAGAUGUGUUCCCUUCGUCAAGUUAGUGACGAAUUUUAAAAUGGCCUGCUUUUUGUUUCCCCCCCCCCCCCUUUUUCUUGUUCUAUUGCAUGAUAUUUGUACAAAGACGAGCUGCCAAGUUGUAAAUUUUCUUUUUUUGAUGUGCAAUGUCUUUUAGCAAUUAGAUGUUCAUAGACAGGUUAAAAUUAGCAAGCAAUUGAUAAUUGAUAUAUGCUUUAUUUCUUUGAUUAAGUUUGUAGUUUUUAGUUGUUCUUGUUUCUUGAACUUGUUGCAGCUGUUCUACAUGUUCGAUGUUAAGUUUCAGUUAAUAUCAGUUACCAGUUACAUUUUAUGAUCAACUCAUAUAGCAAGAGCUCAAUGUUUCAUCUGCAUUAAUUAUAUAUGCGUGCUAUGUGUGUAUUAAUUCAUUCAUCAAUCAACUCUCUUUUAAAAGGUGAAUGGAUCAUGUAGCAAAAGUAUGUGAAAGAUGUGCUUUAUCAUGUAGGGUGGUGCAUUUUCUUUCAUUAUCCACUUGGAUGUUCUGAAAAUUGUUUACUGCCUGCAAAUGUGUUUGAAGUUUCAGGUGAGAAAAUAUAUUUUUUUUCCCCAUUUGUUCAACAGCUUGGAUUGAAGUUAGAGAAUCUACGUGAAUUAUCUCCACAAUUGAAUGUUUCUUUUUCUUUUAUUUUUUUUUCCUUAUUAAAUGAAUGAUUGUGGUGCAUACUUGCAUUGAGUGAGGUUGAUGAAUGCUAUAAUUUCUUUUUUGAGUGUUUCUUGCUUGUUUGUAUCAUCGUAUAAAAUUGUAGUUUUUCUUUUUUCUUUUUUUUUCGGGUGCAUCCGUCUUUUUGAUAUGGCAGAACUUGGAACUCCUGCAACGGUUUAGUGAUUGUGGGUCGUGGUCUGUUUCAUAUCCUGAAAAUAAUUAAUUGACUGGUGAGUGAGAGAACUGAUGUAUACAUAUGAUAAUGGUAGUCAAGCAUGUUUACCCUGUGGGCUGUGCCGCUUUGCCUGUGCAACCCAGACGUUUGACGUAAGGCGAGAAAGAGGAAGAUUAAUCCAUAUUUCAAACAGAAGAAAAAGAGAAAAUGUGCGACAGGCUGCCUGUCGCACCAAGUUUUAGUAUUUGGGGAGGCCUCUAAAUUCUCUUCUCUAUUGCACAUCUUGGAUUUGAGCAUAAAUAUGAUCUCUGGUGACAUCUCCGAUAUGCAGAAUUGGGAAGCCAAUUUGGAGAUUCUUGAUUUAAGUUCAAACAAAUUGGAGAUUCUUGAUUUAAGUUCAGCUUUUACUUGUUGUCGCCGAUGAUGGGAGUUUCUUCAGUUUGGGAGAGAUGGGUGAAAGAGAGUGUUGGAGGAGAGAUGAGAUAGAGGGGUAUUUUGGUCUCAAAUGAUCUUUUAUGGCUAAUGUUGAUAAAAAUUUGUUUGAGGGGUUAUUUUGAAAAAAGUCAAAAUUUUUAUGGCUAUUGGUGUAAAUUUCCCCCAAAAAUAUGACAUGCUAACCCAGAUGCAUUUAUGAAAAAUAACAAUAAAUUAAAGGAUCCCUUAAGUUACCUGCUUUUGAGCCCGUCGCACUCUGUUUUAUUUAUUAAAGCCCUUAGAGUAUCAAAUUCAUUUCCUAUAAUUUUUAAAUUCCCAAAAUACUCUCUAUUUAAUUAAAAAAUAUAAUAAUUAUUAAAUGGAUUAUAAUUAUAAUAAUUAUUUUAUUAUAAUUAUAAAUAUAAUUAUAAUUUUUAAAUGGAUUAAUGAUGAUAAUGAUAAUAAUAAUAAUAAUAAUAAUCUAUUAACAAUAAUUAAUAAUAAUGUUUUAGUUAAAUUGUUAAUAAUAUAAUUAACAAUAAUUACUAUUAUUAAUUAAUUUUUGAAUAAUAAUAAUAAUCACAAUAAUUAAAGUAAAAAAUAAUAAUUAUGAUAAAAACUAAUUAAGGAUUUUAUAGUAAUUUAUUACAUUUAACUCAUUCUGAUUUUAAUUUUAAGACAAAGUAAAUACAUAAAAUGGUAAUAUAGCUCAUUCUAAUUACGAUUUCUGCAGUUCAAGUAAAUAAGUUAUUCUGAUUCUAAUUCCUCAUUUCAAUUCUAUUUAUUCCAAUUCGAACUCAUUAUGUUUCCAGCUAAUUUCGAUUACUGUUUAGUGAAUGCACUAUAAAAUUAUAAACCACUCUAUAUUCAAUUAGACCACUCUAUAUUAUUUACAAUUUAUUCAUAAGUGUUAUGAAACUUUCUGCUUACCUAUACUAUAAAAAUUCAAUUUAUCUCCUCGCAUUCUUUUUCAUUUACUAUUUUUUGUCAAAAGCGUUUCUAUUUACAAUUUUGUUAAUUAUUAGUUUAAUAAUUAUUCAAAAAUAAACUAUUAAUAAUAAUUAUUGUUAAUAAUAAUUAUUAACAAUUUAACUAAAAAAUUAUUAUUAAUUAUUGUUAAUAGAUUAAUUAAUUAUAAUACUUUUUAUUUUUGUUAUUAAUAAUAAUAAUAACAAUCCAUUUAAAAAUUAUAAUUAUAAUAAAAUAAUUAUCAUAAUUAUAAUUAUAAUCCAUUGAAUAAUUAUUAUAUUUUUUUAUUAAAUGGAGGGUAUUUUGGGAAUUUAAAAAUUGUAGGGGAUGAAUUUGAUACUCUAAGGGUUUUAAUAAAAUAAAAUAGAGUAUAAGGGGCUCAAAGAAAUUUUACAAUACAAAAAGUUUCAUGAUACUUAUAAAUAAAUUGUAAAUGAAACAAAGUGCAAGGGGUUUAUUUUACCCUAACAAAUCAGAAAAGACAAAAGCGGCUGUAUGUUACGUGAGCUGUAACUUAGGCAGAUCCUAAAUUAAAAAAGAAAAGGAUAAAAGUGCAAAAGCUAAUUAGUAAUGUUUGAGUUUCAGAUGAUGAAUAUUUAAUUUUAUGGGUGUGAAGAUAUGAAAGAAAAGUGGGUUUAAUGAGGACUAUUUUAUUAUUAAAAGACUACUCAAAAUAAAUUUUAUUUAAAAGUUUUAUUCAAUAAAGUAUAGAGAUCGUCCAAAAUAUAUUUUAGGUACAAAUUAGUCCGUUUGACGUAAUAGUUUGUCUUAUAAUGAGAAUAGCAAUAGUCAAAUCAACUUACUAAGAUAAGAUCUGUCAAAUUUAAUAUUUAAAAUAAAUUUGUUGUCUCAUCAUAGAACACACCGCUCUGCUAUUCGGUAGAGCAUGAUUGGUUGGUAUAGACCAUGGCUUACACAAAUAUUUCUAACAUUUGAAUCCUCAAACCCUCCUAACAAUGCCACUGGUAGGGAUGGACCACAUUUUUCUAAGCUCGGCCCUAAGCCCAUGUUAUUCACCUAUUUUUAAUUAUUAUUUUAAAUAUUAGUGAAUCUGUAAUGUGUUAAUAAUUAACAAGUUGUUAUCAUCAACAAUAAAUUAAAAUUAAUUAUUUUAAAAUAAAAUAAAAAAUAAAGCAAAUAAAAGUUUACAGAUUUAAAUUUUUAGUAUUAGAUCUAUUUCAAGCGUCCUCUUAAUUAAUUAAGGUUUAAGAAAGAGUUUAGUGUCAUAAUUUUAUAUAUUGUUUUUAAUCACUAUUGAUUGAAUUAGGGAUUUAAGUUGUCUUCUUUUAUUUUUUUUAUUAUUAAAAAAAUGGAGGACCUAACCUGUCCUAGACCUUUUUCCUUAAAGAAAAUUUCAUGUAAAGGACCGGACCUAAGCCCACUGGGACUGGGCCAGACCCUUUGAGGCCAGAGGGUAGCCACCAGUCUCUUUUGUCGAUCAUUGCUAACGAACUAGCCCAGUUAAAUAUUUUUAAAUUGAUUGGUCGUAGUUGCCAAUUUCCAAAUAGAACAAAUUUUUAUAGGUGUAUUGGUAGACUGAAUGACAAUUGACAACAUACAACAUAAUUAACAUACUUUCAAAAGAAUUUUUUUUUAAAAAAAAAGAUACAGUGGAUGAACAUAGAAAUCUUGUGCCAAGUUUUGAAAUUCGUCAAUAAUGUAUGGCAGACCCAUGGGGGCUCAAAUCUCAAAUCGAGAAAGUAAUUUUAGAAAAGAGAAAAUUACUUGAGUUACUAAUUAAUUCCUAUUAAGUAUGUUAAAGUAGUCUGUUGAAUUUAUAGCAGUAGCCUUGUAAACUCAUAGAUCUAUAAAAUUUAAGCUUUAACAUUGAGAAAUAUAAAAGUGUAUACUUUAAUUAAUAAAAUAAAAAUCAAUAAUAACACAUAUGGCUAGUUUUAUUAUUAUUUAAUUUAGCCCUAUUAAAUUUAUUAAAAUAACCUCUUUAAAUUUAUUAACCCAUAAAAUUUUAAUUUUUAUAUUUUGUUGUUAUAUGUUUUAACCCUGAUAAUUUUUUUUUGAAUCUGUCACUGCAAUAAUUUCAAUGAUCCUUCAACUUCCCUAACAUUGAUGUUCAGCUGUGUUGACACAAUCACUAUUAUCGUCAUUUUUUUUUUUUUUUACUUUUUCAACAGUCAUAUGCAUUAUCACAAUCAGACAUAAAUUUAAAGCUACUCAUAGAUUAUGUAUAUUAAGCAAAAUUUAGAUUUUUAUCCUCACUAACAAUUGAGAGAUAUCUAUUCUAAGAGAAGGUUUUUGGUGUUCUUGGAAACGUUACUCCUUAUUUAUUUAAUACUUGUCACACGUCUAUUCACAUUCUCAUGAUUGAUUGAAAUAUAUACAUGAUAAAGAUUAAUGAAUAAAAAAGAAACAGUGCUUUAGGAGAUAACACACAAGAAUUUUUCCUACUCCAUCCAGUGGGAAUAUCUACCUCCAUCUAAUUGUAUAUAAUAGGAGGAGGAAUUGUUGAGUCCCCACUUGGGACUCAAGCCAUUGGUCUAUUAACACCCGUUUGCGUUAAAAUUUUGGUUGAAUUUAUAGAAUACUAUAAAUGGUAAAAGAUGCAACCAAAUAAUAUUUCGUGACUCUGUCUUUUCAGUUUUAGGAACAAUGGUGGAAUCAUUUUUGCCGCUUGAAAAACUUACGGAAAAAUUAGGAUCCCGUGCUUUCCAAGAACUUUUAGCACUCUACUGUGUCAAAAAUGACGCAGAAAAGCUAAAGGAGACCUUAACCACUGUCAAAAGUGUGGUUUUAGAUGCUGAGGAAAAGCAAGUCCAUAGCCACCAGUUAAGAGAUUGGCUGGAAAAGCUUAAGGAUGCUUGUGAUGAUGCAGAAGAUGUCUUGGAUGAAUUCGAGGUGGAAGAUCUGCGAAGGCAAGUCAUGAAGCAAAGAAGCAUCGGAAGAAAGUUACGUAACUUUUUUGGAAGCUCAAAUCCGGUAGCUUUUCGUUUUAGAAUGUGUCAACAAAUCAAGAAAGUCGGAGAGAGGUUUGAUGAGAUUGCAAACAUGAUGCAUAAGUUUGAUCUCACUGCACGACUUGAUGAUCAUAGUUGACGAAUUGUGCAUGAAGCGAGGGAAUCUACUCACUCGUUUGUUCGUCCAUCAGAUAUUAUUGGAAGAGAUAAAGAUAGAGAAAAAAUUAUUGAAGCUCUGAUGCAAGCAAGUUCUGGCGAAAGUGAAACUGUGUCUGUUAUUCCUAUUGUGGGAAUUGGAGGUCUGGGCAAAAGUUGGUGUUCAAUGACCAAAGGGUAGAAGAGCAUUUUGAGUUGAAAAUCUGGAUAUGUGUUUCUGAGGAUUUUGGUGAGAGACAAAUUAUGACAAAGAUUAUCAAGUCGAUAACUGGUCAAAACCAAGGUGACUUGGAUAUAGAGCAAUUGCAACGAAUCUUGCGAGUUUGUUUGAAUGGUAAGAGAUAUUUACUUGUUAUGGAUGAUGUAUGGAACGAAGAUCCCAAAGUAUGGGAUAAAUUGAAAAGCUUAUUGUCGGGGGGUGCUAAGGGAAGCAAAAUUCUGGUAACCACACGUAGCAAUAAGGUUGCUUCAAUCAUGGGCAUGAGGGGAGGUACUACUGGCUACAACUUACAAGGUCUACCAUUCGAGGAUUGCUUGUCUUUGUUUAUGAAAUGUGCAUUUAAAGAAGAGCGAGAUAAACAUCCAAACCUUGAAAAAAUCGGGGAAGAAAUUGUGAAAAAAUGUGGAGGAAUUCCGCUGGCAGUCAGAACACUAGGAAGUCUAUUAUAUUGCUCAACGGAUGAACAUGAUUGGGAAUAUGUGAGGGAUAAUGAGAUAUGGAAGUUAGAGCAAAAGGCAA
This 54596-nucleotide long non-coding RNA is filed under the name Citrus maxima (pomelo). RNAcentral's name for it is "long non-coding RNA (CMAX_LNC003924)". The record is from RNAcentral. Lineage: Eukaryota; Viridiplantae; Streptophyta; Magnoliopsida; Sapindales; Rutaceae.